GUGUGUGGUUAACCGGCACACUAACUUGGACUUAACAAGGUAGGUAAAGGGUGACUUAAUAUUUAUCAUAGUAUCGAUGGAGCGUGUGUGGUUAACCGGCACAUCGAUUGAGGGGUAAUUUAUUAAGGGUACCAAGUGAUUUGCAUGGUUACUUCACACCUUGUUUUGUGAUCCUCGGCAUCCCAGUCACAAAACCUGAAGGGCACACUCGAGAUUGAAACAUGCCUUUGAAAAGUUCAAUGAAUCUCAAAGAUCUAGGAGUUUCAAAACCAAUUAAAACCUAAUAAUACAUUUUGUUUAUCUUGGUGGAAAUUGGUGAAUCGUCAUUCACCUACCUUCAAAUAUUUUAUAGCUUGGAUUACGGCAUCCCUCUUCUAAGUUAUAAAAUAGUUUGUUGGGUCCUAGGCUUAAUAUUUCAUAUUGGGUGUCAUAUUAAGGACUUUAGAUCAACUAUCUUGAAUAUCUCCCAAAAGAUGUCUGGUUUAGACAUUUAUGAUCUUUCCAAAUCUCUUGAAACAAGCUUCCUAAAUGAAGAUGAUGUCCCAUGGAAAUCAUACUUCUUUCACCUCCUCCAAUUAUUCUCCCUAACUCACAAGUUCUUGAAAAGUUUAAGGUCACUCAAGCCCUAUUGGCAAAUAAAGGUCUAUGUGUGAUCACAUCUUGGAGAUGAAGUCACAUACUGACAAGCCGGGAGAGUUGGGUGUCAAAGUCUUACGAAAGUUAGUGGUUCAAUCACUUUCUAAGUCGCAUAGUGAGUUCCUUGGUACUCCUAUGAAACAGACUAUGAUAAGACCCUUAAUGAUCUUAUCUAUUUGGUUGGUGCUGCUAAAUUAGAAAUGAUUUAGUGUACUAGUAAAGAAAAGUUGAUUAGGAGAUCAACUUCCCAAAACUUUAUGGACAGGGACAAUAGUGACACAGGAAAUCCAGAAAAGCAUUCUCUUCCCAAUGGAAAGGGAUCGGCCAUAGUCAACUCGGUUGACCAAAUGGUAAAUAGAAAGACUAAGUCUGAAAUAGUCCCAUGUACUAUUACCUAAGGGCCGAUAUGGUCCUAUUGCCAAAAGGAAAGGGCAUUGGUUGCGAAGCUGUCAAUUUUACCUGAAAGAUCAUAAGGCUAGUAAAGUUAAUCAGUUUGACUCUAUUUCAGGUAAGGUCCACUAUCUAACUCGGUUAAGUUUCUAUUUUGAGAUUCUUAUUACAAGAUGUGACUGGGUCACAUGUUGAUGUUUAAGAAUCAAAGGAAAAAGUGAAGGAAACUUAAAGAAAGAGUAUGUUGAAUCUGACCGCCAAGAUGGAUUUCUAUCGCUUGAUUGAUGAUUGGAUUCUUGAGCUACUCUUAGGAGUUAUGAUAGAUUGCUAGGAAACAAGUAAUAACAUAGUUUUCAUUUCAAGUUACAUUGUAAGGAAAAACUUUUUUCCGCAUUUUAAAAUAAAUAAAAGUUUGUUUUACUUUAUUUUUAUCUCCUUACAAUGGCAUUCAUGAAAACUUGAUGUUUGUAUGUUUAUAGCAAUAUUGGAAAUAUGAAUUUGAUUCGUUCAUUUGUGGUAGUGUCUAAAUUUACCAAAUAAGGAAAGAUUCUCAUCACCCAAGUUUCAAUUGGACCGAAACUUGGAAUCAUGCAAGUUGUAUAGUAUGAUGAAUGAGAACUUUCGAGCAUUGGAAAAAUUAAGACUAACUACUUGUUCACAUGGAUGUGUGAGUCAAGAGAAGGACUAAGGGAUCAAGUACACUUUCUUGUGCACUUGUCAAAGUCCACCACAAAAGAUGGAUAAGACUAUUCGUCAUGAUUUACUAAGGUUUAGUAAAUAUGAUUAUACUUACAAGCUUAAGUAUAAUUCUGAAACAUUGGAAAAUUUUCAAUGUAUGACAGAACGAAUAAGAAGAAUCAAAUUAGGCAGAAGGAUAAAAGUUUCUCAAAUCUGAAAAGAUGGGAGAGUACUUUAGUAUCAUGUUUUAAGGUCAUCUUAAUGAUUUUGAGACCUUAUCACAAUUCAUCCUCUAAGUACAUUCUGAUAGUUAAGAAGAGGAGUUAUGAAUUGUUGAAGUGGUUAAAUCAAGAAGAUGAUUCAUACUUCAUUCCAAAACAAUUCAUAGAGUUAUACUCUAAGAUUGUAACUUGAGUGACAUGUCUUAAAGAAGGUUUAAAACACUUGUCAAAUGUAAGAGUAAAAGUUUUCUACUCUUGUACAUUUGAAAUUGGUAAGUUGUGAUGUUUUGGAUAAAACAAAGACCAACUAAGGCNNNNNNNNNNNNNNNNNNNNNNNNNNNNNNNNNNNNNNNNNNNNNNNNNNNNNNNNNNNNNNNNNNNNNNNNNNNNNNNNNNNNNNNNNNNNNNNNNNNNNNNNNNNNNNNNNNNNNNNNNNNNNNNNNNNNNNNNNNNNNNNNNNNNNNNNNNNNNNNNNNNNNNNNNNNNNNNNNNNNNNNNNNNNNNNNNNNNNNNNNNNNNNNNNNNNNNNNNNNNNNNNNNNNNNNNNNNNNNNNNNNNNNNNNNNNNNNNNNNNNNNNNNNNNNNNNNNNNNNNNNNNNNNNNNNNNNNNNNNNNNNNNNNNNNNNNNNNNNNNNNNNNNNNNNNNNNNNNNNNNNNNNNNNNNNNNNNNNNNNNNNNNNNNNNNNNNNNNNNNNNNNNNNNNNNNNNNNNNNNNNNNNNNNNNNNNNNNNNNNNNNNNNNNNNNNNNNNNNNNNNNNNNNNNNNNNNNNNNNNNNNNNNNNNNNNNNNNNNNNNNNNNNNNNNNNNNNNNNNNNNNNNNNNNNNNNNNNNNNNNNNNNNNNNNNNNNNNNNNNNNNNNNNNNNNNNNNNNNNNNNNNNNNNNNNNNNNNNNNNNNNNNNNNNNNNNNNNNNNNNNNNNNNNNNNNNNNNNNNNNNNNNNNNNNNNNNNNNNNNNNNNNNNNNNNNNNNNNNNNNNNNNNNNNNNNNNNNNNNNNNNNNNNNNNNNNNNNNNNNNNNNNNNNNNNNNNNNNNNNNNNNNNNNNNNNNNNNNNNNNNNNNNNNNNNNNNNNNNNNNNNNNNNNNNNNNNNNNNNNNNNNNNNNNNNNNNNNNNNNNNNNNNNNNNNNNNNNNNNNNNNNNNNNNNNNNNNNNNNNNNNNNNNNNNNNNNNNNNNNNNNNNNNNNNNNNNNNNNNNNNNNNNNNNNNNNNNNNNNNNNNNNNNNNNNNNNNNNNNNNNNNNNNNNNNNNNNNNNNNNNNNNNNNNNNNNNNNNNNNNNNNNNNNNNNNNNNNNNNNNNNNNNNNNNNNNNNNNNNNNNNNNNNNNNNNNNNNNNNNNNNNNNNNNNNNNNNNNNNNNNNNNNNNNNNNNNNNNNNNNNNNNNNNNNNNNNNNNNNNNNNNNNNNNNNNNNNNNNNNNNNNNNNNNNNNNNNNNNNNNNNNNNNNNNNNNNNNNNNNNNNNNNNNNNNNNNNNNNNNNNNNNNNNNNNNNNNNNNNNNNNNNNNNNNNNNNNNNNNNNNNNNNNNNNNNNNNNNNNNNNNNNNNNNNNNNNNNNNNNNNNNNNNNNNNNNNNNNNNNNNNNNNNNNNNNNNNNNNNNNNNNNNNNNNNNNNNNNNNNNNNNNNNNNNNNNNNNNNNNNNNNNNNNNNNNNNNNNNNNNNNNNNNNNNNNNNNNNNNNNNNNNNNNNNNNNNNNNNNNNNNNNNNNNNNNNNNNNNNNNNNNNNNNNNNNNNNNNNNNNNNNNNNNNNNNNNNNNNNNNNNNNNNNNNNNNNNNNNNNNNNNNNNNNNNNNNNNNNNNNNNNNNNNNNNNNNNNNNNNNNNNNNNNNNNNNNNNNNNNNNNNNNNNNNNNNNNNNNNNNNNNNNNNNNNNNNNNNNNNNNNNNNNNNNNNNNNNNNNNNNNNNNNNNNNNNNNNNNNNNNNNNNNNNNNNNNNNNNNNNNNNNNNNNNNNNNNNNNNNNNNNNNNNNNNNNNNNNNNNNNNNNNNNNNNNNNNNNNNNNNNNNNNNNNNNNNNNNNNNNNNNNNNNNNNNNNNNNNNNNNNNNNNNNNNNNNNNNNNNNNNNNNNNNNNNNNNNNNNNNNNNNNNNNNNNNNNNNNNNNNNNNNNNNNNNNNNNNNNNNNNNNNNNNNNNNNNNNNNNNNNNNNNNNNNNNNNNNNNNNNNNNNNNNNNNNNNNNNNNNNNNNNNNNNNNNNNNNNNNNNNNNNNNNNNNNNNNNNNNNNNNNNNNNNNNNNNNNNNNNNNNNNNNNNNNNNNNNNNNNNNNNNNNNNNNNNNNNNNNNNNNNNNNNNNNNNNNNNNNNNNNNNNNNNNNNNNNNNNNNNNNNNNNNNNNNNNNNNNNNNNNNNNNNNNNNNNNNNNNNNNNNNNNNNNNNNNNNNNNNNNNNNNNNNNNNNNNNNNNNNNNNNNNNNNNNNNNNNNNNNNNNNNNNNNNNNNNNNNNNNNNNNNNNNNNNNNNNNNNNNNNNNNNNNNNNNNNNNNNNNNNNNNNNNNNNNNNNNNNNNNNNNNNNNNNNNNNNNNNNNNNNNNNNNNNNNNNNNNNNNNNNNNNNNNNNNNNNNNNNNNNNNNNNNNNNNNNNNNNNNNNNNNNCAAAAAUCGAACUUCUCGCGGGCAGAGCUUCGACUCGGGAACCGCACUUCUCGGGAUCUUCGGGAUCUCGGGACUUGCCUCGGGGCUCGAGAAUAAUACCGGGGCUUCGAGGUAUUUCUGGCACGCAAAUCAAUGCAAAACGGGAGAGAAAAGAGAGAAAAUAGCAAAAGAACUCGGCUGCCCUCGCAUCCUAUUUAUAGGAGGCUGGAGCCUCGGACUACGCGGGGCGUACGCUAGUACGUGGGGCGUACUGGUCCGAAUUCGUCACUGCGUUCGUCAUCCGAAGCCACUUGCUGCGAGUGUCGACAUCUUCGGUGUACACGGGGCGUACAUGAGUAUGCGGGGUGUACUUCGGAUCGGAUCGCUGACUCCCCUUCGGAUAAUGCCGGAUUUUCCAAUUAAAAUUAAAUACAAAUUAUUUAAUAAACUUCGGAAGUUCAUAUCUUCUUCAUACGAACUCCGUUUUCGACGUUCUUUAUAUCCACGUGAAGGUGAGACUANNNNNNNNNNNNNNNNNNNNNNNNNNNNNNNNNNNNNNNNNNNNNNNNNNNNNNNNNNNNNNNNNNNNNNNNNNNNNNNNNNNNNNNNNNNNNNNNNNNNNNNNNNNNNNNNNNNNNNNNNNNNNNNNNNNNNNNNNNNNNNNNNNNNNNNNNNNNNNNNNNNNNNNNNNNNNNNNNNNNNNNNNNNNNNNNNNNNNNNNNNAUCUCAAAUUGAGUAUUUCAGGCUGCAUACCGCUAAGCCGAAACUUCGAUAAAUCAUAACUUCCUCAUACGAAGUCAGAUUUGGGCGUUCUAUAUAUAUUCGGAAACCUCGUUUCAACUACUACAACAUCAACCAAAGAUAUCAAGUUUAUUUUACACUUUAAUUUUGACGCUUAUUUUUAUUCUUAAUUAAUCAAUCCCCAUAAUUAAGCAAUUAAGCACAAAACACAUAAUACUCAAAUAAUACACUUAUAUUAUUUCAAAACGGGUUACAAAGGUUAACCUAGACUAAUACAUUGCUAAAAAAAUGGCAAGCCUGGAAACACAGGCGUUACAAUUAAGAAGGGAAAUGUUUUAGAACUGGAUAUGACUAAAAGGAUUAAACAAUUGUCGAGGACAAUCUAAGGUUUACCAAAGAUUGGUUGCUCAAGGACAGUUGUAAGUAUAGUGUUAAUUCUGGAAGGACUAUAUUGACAUAAUCUGUAAGGAGGCAACUCUUGUUCAGAAGUGAUAGUCACAAUGGAAUCUGGAAAUGUUUCAAAGUUAGAAAUUAUUCAAUCUUUGUAAGAUUAGGAAACUUAAUGCAGGAAGGAUGUUUCCAAGGAGCUGAUCUCCUUUGGAAUGCUCUGUAAUGGUUGUUGUCAAGUCUUUCUGACUUUGUGCAUAAUCGUUACAAGAUGAUCAAUGCAUAUAAGUUUAGAAUCUAACAGAUUUCAGUAAAUGGCAUGAAUUUGGAAUUCUUGCAUUUGCAGUAAGGAAUUGGGAAUGUGGAAUGAGGAUCAUUGGAGUUAUGUUCAAUUGAUCUAUUUCACAAAGUAAAGAUCAUAGACAAACAUAGUAUGCAUACUUGGUGUAUGGCAUGACUAGUGUUUAGAAAACAUAGUGUACAUGCUUGGAGCAUGGGACAACUAUUGUUUUAAAUUCAAGAAUAAAGUUGAUAGCUGAAACAAUAUACAAUGAAUAAUGUGUAAUCAUAUGGUGAUAAAUAAAAGGUGUUUUAUUUAUAUUCAUAGGUUUUGAUACCAUAUUGGAUUCAAUUAUUAUUGUGUUUCACUUUGCAUGUUUUGACUUCCCGAAUAAACUGGGUUAUUCUUCCGGAAUGACUAAGUUAUUCAAACCAUCCACAGUCGGUCAUAUUUUGGAAGUAGAUAUGAAUUAAGACUGUCAUGGGUUGGCUUGUAGAGGUCUAAGGUGUUGGACAAAGGGCUACAACACUCAUGAGUGCUCAUAAGUUCUGAGUAUUGGAUUCAACCCGCGCUCAUUGGAAUCACUUCAUGGAUUUUAUCACGAGUGAUCAUGAGACGAUAAUAUCUUAUAUUCUUCAAACCUAGAGAUAUGAGUUGUUACUAUGAGUUGAUAGUACAUUGAUUGCACGAAAACGCAUUUGGUAACUCGGUGCUAUAAAACGUGCCUUUGUGUAUGAUUCAACAAGUAGUAGAACAAGCCAUAUGAGUCGAAGUUUAUCCAUUCCUUUUACCUUCGGGAUAAAAGCGAUAUCUGUGGGCCCCUCGAUGAUUUGAUGAUGACAAAUGGAAGUGCUCGGCCGGGCCAGGACUGAUUUGAUUUGUUCAAUUAGUCAGUCGUCAUAAAUCGGAAAUCGGGAAACAACAAAUGGACAGAGAGAAUGAUUAUAAUCCAUGUCUCAGUCCAUAUGAUAUCUAGAAUGGAGGAAUAUAUGAUCCCUUAUCUAAUGGACAAGUCAUUGACAAAGGUCAGAGUUCAUCUACAAGGUCAGAGUUCGACAGAAGCUUUUGAGAGCUACGAUUGCCAGUUGGUUCCUGAAGUCAUACGCAAUAAUAGUUUUAGACUUAUCCAAGUGGGAGACUGUUGGAUUAAUGUCUAAGUCCAUAACUAUAUUUGGUAAGACUUGACCCGACCCGGCAUGGUCCAUUUGGGUUGCAUACCAUCAUGCACUAAAAUGAGAGAAAUAAGACACUUAUGGUUAUUAAUAUAUUAUAAGUUCUAGUAUAUUAAUAAUAAGAAUAAUAAGAUUAUUUAAUUAGUAUUGAUCAAGAAUUAAUCUAGGAUUAAUUAAGUGAUCAAAAGAAGACUAAUUAAAUAUAUCGGUUGAUUGUGUAAAUCAUCCAUACUUAUAUAGUGGGCUAAUGCUCCAUGGAUUACCUAGUUGGGCUAAAACCCAUAGGAUGGNUUCAUGGAUGCUCCAUGGUGUUUUUGUACCCAUGGAUCAUGGAAAUGAAAGGCCAUGUCAAUUAGGGUUUACAUGGUGUAACCCUAACUAUAUGCAUCUUAUUCUUGACCAAAAUCGGCCACUAAUGAGUGUAAAAGAAGGGCUAGCCAAUUUCAUGAGUUGUGAAGUUUCUCUCAAGUUAUUCCAAGUGUAUUUGGUGUUGUGUGAACCAUUUGAGGUGCCACACUUGAGGCACUAGGCACUCAAGCUUCAUGAAGCCAUUGUACAUCAAAGAGGUAUGUAUUCUAUCUUGUAAUAUUCAUUAUUUUGUAUGCUAGAUUAGGAUAAUACCUCGGAUGUUCAUAAUUGCAUGUAUAAUAGAGAAAACGUAGAUCCAAGGUAGUUAGGGUUGCAAGUACACUUAGGAGUGUUAGAAUGCUCAAAACCCAACAGUUCUUCCGUCACAAAUUCCGUUGUAGUUAAUCCCUAGUAAAAUCUGUGGUGAUGAAUCCCUAGCAAAAUCCAUGGUGAAGAAUCCCUAGCUAAAUAUGUGGUGAUCAAUCCCUAGCUAAAUUCGUUUGAUGAUCUCCUUGCAAAUUCCGUGCUCAUGAAUCCCUAUGAGUUUUAGUGGUGUAUAUAUUAUAUACCAUAUUCAAUAUGGACUGAUUGAUAAUUGAUUUAUAAAUUAUAUCCAAAUAAUUUUGUAGUAAUAUAUGAAAAACAAAAAAAACAAAAAACUCAUAACCAUUAUAUCAUAAAAUAACAAAAUAAUUAUUUAUUACAUGGAAAAAAGAAAGUUGCUACUCUAAAAUACAUAAUCUUCAAUAAACAUAUAUCAACCAACUACUCUUGUUGUUUUGUAACGACAUUAAUAAGAUCCAAUGCCGUUUGAAGUUGUUUUUCAAGAUGCCCGACCCUUGCUUUGUUCUCCUCUUGUUAGGCAUUCAUCAUUUCUUUAAGCUGUUCAUUUUGUUGUUUCUGUUUAGCAAUAAGCUCCAUCAUUUCUUCUAUUUCAUCAUUUUUUUCCGAAAUAUAAGAUACAUCUAUUUUACCAUUCCUAUUGGGAACCACCUUUACAAACGAGCCUAAUCCAUAAAGUCUUCUUUUUUAUCAUGACCACCAACAACAGCAUAAAAUAGCUUGUCCUCCUCAAAUUCAGCACCUUCAGCUUCCAACUCUUCUCGUUUUUCUGUAUAGGCCAACUACAAAAUAAAAGUAUUAUAAGUUAAAAGAUAUCAAAUUUAGGAAUGAUAUUAAGGAGUAGCUAUAAUAUAAAAGUUAAUUUAAACUGAAAUGAAUAUUACAUGAAUUUGUCUAUCUUUUUCAUUUGUGAAAGUGACUCCAUCAUGAUUCUUAGUGUGUGUAUACAAGAACAAUUCACUAUGGGGUGGCUCAUGUCCUAAUUUCCUCUUAUGCAUAAAUACCAUAUAAAAAGUCAAAUAUACAGAUAAAAAGAUGCAAACAUUGAUACAAUGUACCAUUUAAAAAUUACUAAAUCAGAAGCUAUCUUCAAAUGACAUGCGGAUCCAGCGUUAUGUGUGGGUUUUCCUACUCCAUUAGCCACACCGUUAUGCCUAUUUUUCCUAUUCUGAUUAGAUUUUAGCUUGCAUUCUUUUGUAUUCUAUUUUAAUUGCCAAGAGUUCCAGACAUCAUGUGGAAUAUGAGCUGGUUUAAAGCCAUAUUUGUUUCUUUUUGGGCUCCUCAUGUUGAAGAGAUAUUGACCAUAACUUUGUGCCGCUUUCCUUGACCAAGCUUGCCUCACCGGCAAGUCUAUUUUCUCAUCCCGGCAACAUUUUUUCUACACAUUAUCAAUAUAAACAUAAGUUGAAGUGUAAAUGUUUACCAAAUAACAAUUUAUGACUUAUAGUUACCUGAAACUCCUCCCAAUAUAAUUCACGCAUUUCAUUGCUUACUUGUGCCCAAGCGUACCCUUCCGGAUCUACUCUUUGUUUAAAGGACUGACUAAUAAAGUGUGCACAAGAGCCUGGUGGCAUUAGCCUACAAGUAAUCAUGUAAUGUGUUAAGUUAUGAAUUGAUAUGUAGGUGUAAGCCAAAAUUUAAUACAUAAAAAAGUUGUAAUUAAGAUUUAAAUUGGUAACUCACGUAUUUUUAGAACAUGAAAAUUUAAACGUCCAUUUGGUCCACAAUCUUUAGAGGAAUUAUUUUCACCUUCUACACUUUCCACUACAGAUCCAUUCAUGGUUGGUUGUGUUGGUGAUGGGGUAUAUUCGGGGAUAGGUGUUGUUGAUGGGGUAUAUUCUGGGGUAGGUGUUGUGAUAGAUGUAUAUGUUGAAGAUGAGGUAGUUCCUUUACUUAAGGAGGAUGAUGUAGUUAUUGUAGUUGCGGCGGAUGGGAGUGUAGAUGCAGGUUUUGAGGUUGUGGUAGUAGAUAUAGGUGUUGAUGAUUCGGUAGUGGUGUUGGUGUUGAGGAUGGUUUAGAUGAUGUAGGUGUUGAAGUUUUGGUUAUUGAUGUUCGUGUUGACGAUUGUAUUGUUCCAGUUUCUGAAGUUUUAAAUGUUUUUCUACGGAGGUUGUGGAUGUCGUAAGUGAUGCCGAGGAAGUGGUAGUCAUGGGUGAUGUUAAUAAUAUAGGUUUAGGAGUUUUGUUGGUAGAUGUUAUAGGUGCUUUGGAUGUGGUUGUUGGUAUUGAGAAGUCGAUUUCUUCAUCUUGUAACCAUCUGUUUCCGAAUUUUGCAGCUGAAAUCUUAUAGCGUUUCAUAACUUGUGGUGCAAUGAAUUUAGUUGGCUUCACACCGGAUACUCCUUUUGCUUUCGAGGUCGACAUCUUUCUGACGCAAACAAUAAAAAUAAAUUAUAUAUGAAGGCAUUACAUUGCAUGCAAACUAUUGAAUACAAUCAAAACCAAUUUACAUGAAGAUGAUCAAAGAACAAAAAACGAUGGAUCAUCACGACAACAGUAAAUUAAAUAAAUAUAAAUUUUAGAUGAAUGACAAACUAUAUCGCCAAAGUCAGUGCAUAAACGUAUAAUGAACAAAGAUUUCUAUCAAUAAGCCAUCGGAGAUAAUGAUUACAGAAAAUCUAAACCCUAUUUCUAAUCGGUAAACUUAAUUACCCUAAUAUACAUCAUAAACGUGUGUAGGUUGGAGGGAAACGAAUUGUGAAAUACUUGGAACCUCCGCUAAUAAAAAAAUUCGAACUAUGUUAAUUAACGCUAAAUAUUUAGUAAUUCAAAUUUAUUUAAAGUAGUUAAAGAUUGAUAGAUAGGGUAUAUACAUAUAAAUAACGUCAAGAAAGAACAUAGAGUAACGAUGUGUUCAUAGUAUAAUUCUGACUAAAAAUUAUAUAUGAGGACAUUAAUAAACUAUACUUCUUUAUGCUUUUCUGUUUAAACCGAAAUUUAUAUACAAAAGACGUACGAGUCAUGUCAAUAUAUAUGAUAGUGGCGUAUGGUGUCCAUGGAUGACAUAUGGGCCAAUGGUCGAAAUGGUAGUGGCUUAUUGUGUCCAUGGAUGACAUAUGGUUGAUUAGUCCACAUAAUGGCUUAUGGUGUCCAUGGUUGACAUAUGGGCCAUUGGUCCACAUGGUAAUGGCUUAUGGUGUCCAUGGUUGACAUAUGGGUAACAUAUGGGCCAUUGGUCAACAUGGUAGUUGGUUAUGGUGUGAUGGUAUCACCCAUGGAUGAAAUACUGGUCAUUCGUCAACAUGGUAGUUGAUUAUGGUGUCAAUGGAUGACAUAUGGUUCAUUGGUCAACAUGGUAGUUGCUUAUGGCGUGAUGGUAUCACCCAUGGAUGAAAUACGGGUCAUUGGUCAACAUGGUAGUUGAUUAUGGUGUCCGUCGAUGACAUAUGGGCCAUUGGUCAACAUGGUAGUUCCUUAUGGUGUGAUGGUAUCACUCAUGGAUGACAUACGGGUCAUUGACCAACAUGGUAGUUGCUUAUGGGGUGAUGGUAUCACCCAUGGAUGAUAUAUGGGUCAUUGGUCAACAUAUAUCAUUUGUGCCGGUUGUGUAUUAAAAUUUAAAAUUUUCAAAUACUUAAUUUUGUAGGAAAUAUUAAUUUUUUAAAUAAUUUUAUUAAUAAUUUAGGGUCCCUAAUUUAAUCACCGCUGAGUCUGAUUAAUUGUUUAUUGCCAGUUGACCGCCGAGCGAUCGACGAGCGAUUUUUACAACCUUGAUUAAAAUAGAAAUUGAUUUUUCUUUUAAAUAUUACUUUUUACAAAACUACCCUUACUAAUUAAAUACGAGUCAUUGUAUGUAUUAGGACAAUUUGGUCAUUUUAUAAUGGAACAUCUUCUAGGCGCCAUAAUGCUUUCCGACGAAACAUGUUGUUUCAGUUCUUCACUCUUAUUUUAGUCACUUUGAAACAAACCCAAUUUAAAAAUUCCGACGGACAAAAAACCCUAAAAUCAAUUUCGCAGAAUCGUUACCUUAAUGAAUGUUUAUUAUUAUGGAAUCCAGUACUUCUUCUAAGAUUCAAUCAAGAAAUCAUACGAAAUCGCUAAUAGACAUGGCAAAAAUAAUAGUCGACUUGGCAAAAAUUUCAACAGUCGAUGCUUUCAGGAUGAAGAAUGUGUAAGUUUUGCCUUUGAUCAUUCUAUUUCACAAGUGUAUUUGAGAUGUCAUUACAUUAUGGAGUGAAUAUUGUGUUUCAUUUGCAGUUGCAGAUUCUUCAACGAGCCAGGAAAAACGGAUGAAGUAUAUAAACAUAUGGAGUUAGAUGGAUUACGAUUUCGUGUUUGGUCUGACAAGAAACAUGAAGUUGUCAAUAAAUGCAUAGAUAUGAGAAACCCAAAUACUCUAUUCAGGAAUGGAUUGGUAUGUUGUUAUAUAUAUGCAUAGUAGUAAUUAAUCUGUUACUUGUUUUGCAUAACUUUAACUAGAAAUUAUGUCUUUAAUGUUUUUUUCAGAUGAAGUUAUUUUUCUUAGAAGCUGAACAUGAAGGGAAAACGAUGAUUGAAGAAGCAUCUGCAUUGGUACAUUUGGAUUCAACAUUUGUCCUGGGAAUGAUGCUGAUGGCUGAAGGGAGACAUAGGAAGCAGGAAGCUUUGGAUAUGUUGAACAAUGCUUACCGCAGAGCAAAAGGUAAGUGGAAUCUUAGAGCAACUUGUUCUAAGGUUCGUCUACACUUAAUUAGGGAGGGGAGGAAACAUGUACACUUCCAUGGCUUCCAUAGAUGUUGUGCAUUGCAUAAGUCUGUAGUUAGUGUGUCAGAUGCUUUUGUGAAUGGAUACAAAUGGGUGUUUAUGUGUGAAAUUUGUUUAUGGGAUGCUUGUUUCGUAUGGUUUUUUAGGGAGUUUGGUAUAAUUUAUGAGUAGUUUGUUGAUAUGUAUUUUGAUAUCGUGACAAUUAAUGCUAUGUAGAUUAUUUUGGUUUAAUAUACAAAUAUAUAUAGUAAUUUACUUAAUAAGUAAUUAUUUGAUGUUGUUACUUGAUUAGUAAAUAUGUUGUGUUGUUAAUAAGGGACUAAAAGAGUUAAAGUUUGGAAUGAUGUUUGAAUGAUGUUUCAAUAAUGUUUGAAUAAUGUAUUUUGGACUUUUAAUAUUAGUGUUUAUAUUGUAUUUUGAUUAUAGUUGUAUGUAGCAAAUGUUUGUUCUUUCCUAGUAUUAAAUACAUAUAAAAUACAAUUGUAAAGGCAUAAACAAGCAUGUAUUUUAUUUUGGACUUGGUAAUUUGGUUUAAUAUCAACUAUUGGAGAACCCAUGCUUUGCAUAAGGUAAAAUUGUAAAGGAUUAAACAUAGGGACUAAAAGUGGCAACAAAGAAAAAUUAUUGUGGCUAAAAUCAAAGUAAAAAAAUUACUAUAAACAUAGGGGCUAAAAGUGGCAACAAAAGAAAACUAUUUUGUCUAAAAUCUAAAGUAAAUAAGUUUACUAUUAAAAUCUUGUUCCACAUUUAAUAUGUAUAUUAGUACAUGAAUAUAUACUAGUAAUUUGGUGAAAUGUUAAUAUAUAUAUAUAUAUAUAUAUAUAUAUAUAUAUAUAUAUAUAUAUAUAUAUAUAUAUAUAUAUAUAUAUAUAUAUAUAUAUAUAUAUAUAUAUAUAUAUAUAUAUGUUAUUUUUGACUUUUUCAUUUCAACAAUCAAAAGUCCAAUGUUACCAAGCUAUAAAAGGCUAUAAUAUUUGAAUAUGUGUUUUGACACAAAUACCCUUAGUAUUCACAUAUUUGGAUUGACUUCAGGGACAAUUUGGUCUUUUUGCACUCUAAAUUGUUGAGGCGCCAUCAUACCUUUGACGUCACGUCAGCGUUCCAGUUCUUCAACCAUUCUGAACAUCUCAACUUUUUCGGACGACAAAUCUGCAUACAAACACUAAAACCCCUAAAUCGUCGAAGGAUAAUCGUUGUCAAAAACGAUUUUCUCUAAUAAUAGAGACUCAUAUACUCCUCUCGACCAGAUCAGCAUAAAUUAAGUUUUUUUUUCCAUACCAUGUAACACUGUCUUUCAAAGUUACGCUUAAUUUUUUUAAAAAAAUUGAAAUAACUACUCCAAUGUGUAUUUUGUAAGUAGAAUGUCGAAUACUAGAAGUCGUCGUUCGUUUGAUGAUCUCCCACUAAAGCUUUUGAGUCUAAUAUUUGUAGUAUUAGGGUCAGAAUCUGCGAAAGACAUCGUCUCUGCAAAACUUUGGUAAUUCUCAAUAAACAUCAACUAAUGAAUGUAUAUUUUAUGAAAUAAAAAUUUAUUUGUUUGUUAUUUACUGUUUAUUUAAAUUUUUGAAGUUCAAAGAAGAUGUAUGAAGCAGGGGGUGAUCCUAAAGUGUAUAGAACAACAUGCGUUGACAUGUUUGAAGGAAUGGGUCCCAAAAAUCUGAAAGCUGAAUUAUUUAUGCGCACAUGUGAAUUGCAUAAUAAUAUUGAAGCCAUGUUUAGACAAGGAAUUGUAUGUGUAGUAUCAGUAAUUAUAUGUAAUCUAUACCAUUUAUUAAUAUUAAGUGUCAUUGAUGUUAAAUAUUGAUAUUGUUAUUAUGUCAACAAGAUGAGUGCUUUUAUUAUGGCCAUUUUGAUUUAGGAAUGACUUUGUUGAGACAAGCAGCAGAUGAAGAUCAUCUUGAGGAAAUUUAUUUGCUUGGAAUGAUCUACAUUUCUAGAGGGCCUCAUCAUUGUGAUGAAGGUAAGUAUAUAUGGUAUAUAUGCAAAUUAAAUUAUAUAUAUCGUUAAUUAAGGCAUGUUUGUAGUUUGGGGUUAGUAUUUAGUUGUAACAUCCGGACUUCCAAGUAUUAUAAUUUAUUCGUUUAUUUUUGGAAGUUGUGAGGAGACUCAGCGAGUUGGUGUUUAAACUCGCCGAGUAUGGUCGCGGAUUCCUGUCCGAGUUCACAGCUGGACUCGGCGAGUUCAUGAGUGGACUCGGCGAGCCCACGCUGUUUAAUGAAACCCUAAUUUCCAGGGUUUGAGACCUAUUUAAAGGCCCUUAGGGCCGUCAUUUGCGGCCACCAAACCCCAGAGAGAAACCCUAAGAGAUCUAGAGCAUUUUUGAGGAAGGAGAGGCCAUUCUUGAUCCUUUUGUUGGUGUUUUUGCAAGAAGAAGGUGACCAAGGCAAGAGGAGGCUGAAGGAGGUGCGAUUUUGGUGAUUUCUGAGUUCAUAGAGAUCAUAUUGAGGUAUUUUUCUCGAACCUUCUUCAGUUUUAGUGUUGAUUCUAAGUGUUAGUGUUUUCUAACCCUUUUAGAGGUUGGAUAAGUGGGGCAUUUGGUCCCUUCUCGAGUCUAUGUUUUGGAUAUGGACCCAAAGAGGUCCAAAGACCUUAAUCCUUGGAGCUUUAUGAGUCAUUUUGGGAGCCAUGAGCUUGGGAUGUCAUUUUUGGGGCUAAAUCACCAUGUUAGACCAUUUAGAUGUUAUAUAAGCGUCAAGGUCUGAACUUUACAUGAUUAUCAUGCUUGGGAAGGCUAGAUCUAUGAAUGUAAGGAACAAAUCUAACCUCAGGAGGCCUAUGGAGUUUGUGCAUGGCAUGAACUCGCCGAGUCCGAAGAACAGACUCGACGAGUAGGAUGAGGGUAGCCCCGCGAUUCAUGCCAGGUGUGACUCGUCGAGUAAGGGGAAGGACUCGACGUGCCAAGAGAGGGGCUAAGAGAGUCAGUGGGCAUGUGUAGACUCGUCGAGUCGCCCAAGUGCACUCGACGAGUCGGGUCAAAGUUUGACCGUUGAAUUUUGUGGACUUUUAGGGUUGGGUAUAGUUGUAUUGAUGAGAGCAUUUACUUUGUGUGAUUAGGCGGAGGCUAGAUCACAUUUCUACCGAGUCAGAGACUUACCGAGACACCUGAGGUAAGUCUUCUCACUAUACGUUAGCUAGAGUGGUAUUACGUGAUGAUUAGAGGGUCUUAUGUGUUAUGUAUGAGAUUAUGUUCUAUGUGAUAUAUGUAUGUUGUAUGAUGAUAUAGACCGGACCGGAGGGUCCAACGAGCUAUGACCGAACCAGAGGGUCCAACGAGCUACGAGACUAGAGGGUCCCGCUGAGACACAUCGACCAGAGGGUCGUACAUUGGCCUCGAGUGGCGUAUGUGUUGUAUGCGGUAUUUUGGGGAACUCACCAAGCAUUUAUGCUUACAGUUGUUGUGUUAUGUGUUUCAGGUACCAGUGAUGAACGCGGGAAGGCGCUGGCAUGAUUCGUACACACGCACAUUGGAGUUAUAUAUAUUCUGAUCUUGGGGUUUUGUACUGAUACAAUGUUGAUACAAUGUUUUUAAAAUGAAUGUGAACGAUAUUUAAUGGUUUUAUCAAAAGUGAAAAAUUGUUCAAAUUUUACGGUGUUACAAGUUGGUAUCAGAGCCUUGGUUUGAGGGAUUCGGAUGCAUCUUCGGGCAUAUCUGAACUCAAACUGAGGAUUUGAGGAAAAUUUUGAUAAUGAAGUAAAAUUUUUGAAAAGAGUAAAAAAAAGUUUUGAGACAAACAGAGCAGAGCCGUGUGUACGAUCAGCCAGCGCCCGAACGGUGAAUCCCCAAAAGUACCCUUACAUUAUGUGUUAUGAGAUAUGUUAUGUGACAUUAUGCAUGCUAGAGUAGGCUAGGUAUACAUAUUAGGACUAGAGUGGCCUGAUUGGUGAUGCCUUAGCCUUGGAGAUUUCUGCUGCUGAGAUGCUUUGGGAGCGAGUAGAUAGCAGUUAGGAGCUCAUGAGAGUAGAGUACUCGUAAUCCAGGAUCCAAGGAGGAGGACUUGGAGUGAAUGCUGAUGCGUUGUGGUCAGUAGUAUUGGGCCCGUACUACUGAAGACAUCGGAUAAGUGGGCAUUCCUAGUAAGAAUCUUUUGGACAACGAAGGACGAGUAGCGUUGUGUCAUCGAGUAUGAGUAUGCUCGAUCGAGUCUCUGAUAAUUAUUGUUGUAUUUCAGAGGCAUCAUGGUUGGGACUCGACACACACCUGAGAGCAGUGGUGUCAGCGACGAGGAGAUCCGUCAAUUGAUUCACGAGGAGGUGGCUGCUACCAUUUGAGCUGAGAUUCUUGAGAUGUUUGGGGACAUCAGGACCACACUAAUCCAGUCCUUUGAUGAGCGGUAUGCAACUCUGACUGAGGUUGCGGCAGCUGCAGCUACUGCUGCUGUUGCUGCUGCCAGACCUCAGGGAGGUGACUCGUUGUUGUUUCGGGAGUUUGGAAACACGAAGCCACCAGAGUUCAAUGGGAUGCAUGACCCGAUUACUGUGAUGAGAUGGAUAUCAGACAUCGAGGGACGUUUAUGUACGUGUUCUUGUCCAGAUCACUUGACGGUAUGGUUCGCCCUGAACCAGCUCCGCUUGGGAGCGAAGGAUUGGUGGAAGUUCGUGACGGCGAACUUCACUUUGGCUGAUAUUUCCGAGGUGACCUGGGAGAGGUUCACCGCUAUGUUCAGAGAUGAGUAUGUUCCACCGGUGGAGAGGGAAUGGUUGAUUCAGGAGUUCUUGACCCUCAAGCAGGGUACUAAUUCUGUGACAGUGAUCACCAAGAAGUUUCAUGAGAAGGCGAUGUUUUGCCCUGAGCAGGUGUCUUCUGAGCAGGCUCGUAUGAGCCUUUAUCUGAGUGUUCUGAAGAGAUUAANCCCUGAGCAGGUGUCUUCUGAGCAGGCUCGUAUGAGCCUUUAUCUGAGUGUUCUGAAGAGAGAUAUUCAGGAGUUCGUGGCGAACUCGACUUACCGGACAUUUGCUGAGCUCCAGGAAAAUGCCUGGAAGAGGGAGAUUGAGUUGGAGACACAGGCCAGGGAGGAGGCCGAGUCGCAGAGGGCGGAUCGGCGACCGGUACAGUCUCCACCGACUGCCAAGCAGGCUAGACCUGCUGAUUCGAGAUCUGGGGGCGCGAAGGGCCGCACUUGUGGGAAGUGCGGUAAGAGUCAUGAGGGGUCGUGCAGGGCUGGAGUAUGUUACAAGUGCGGGAAGGAGGGGCAUAUCGCGAGGGAUUGCCCCAAGGGAUUCUCGGUUUGCUUUCAUUGCAACCAGACCAGCCAUCGGAAGUCCGAGUGCCCUCAGCUACUUCAGGGGUCAGCGCAGGGAUCUGCGCCUGCUGCUAGGGUUACCAAGGUUCGGCCGGUGAAGGCCGAGGCCCCGAAGGUUCAUGGGAGAGCAUUUCAGUUGACUGCGGAGGAGGUCCACGCGGCGCCCGACGUUGUGGCUGGUAUGUAUUCUAUAUUCAUCUUUUAUUUGUUGAGUUAUUAUGCUUAUAUGAUGAUGUGUGUAGGUACUUUUCUUGUGAGUUCUGUACCUGCUUUGGUAUUAUUUGACUCAGGUGCGAGUUGGUCGUUUGUUUCCGUAGCAUUUAGUCAGCACAUUAAUAUCCAUCGAGAGGCGUUGGAUCGGCCUCUAUGAGUUUCCAUAGCUGAUGAGCGAGCGGUGUAUGCUUCAGAUGUGAUUCGAGGAUGUGUCCUUGAGAUUUUCGAUGUGGAGUUUCCGAUAGAUCUGGUUCCGAUCGCGAUGGGGGACGUGUGUUUUAUAGUGGGUAUGUUUUGGUUAAGCCGAUAUGGAGUUGUGAUAGACUGCGAACGUCAAUUCGUGACAAUUCGAGACCCUAGUGGGGGAGUUCUUACAGUGUACGGCGAGGGUACACGUACGGAGUCAGCAUUUUCCUCGGCCGCCAGAGCGAGGCAGAGUCUACAACAGGCUGUAAGGGAUUUGUGACAUAUGUGAUGGAUGCGAGGGUUGAUUCAGAGAGACCGAAGUCAGUGGAUGAGGUCCCGAUAGUGCGUGAGUUUCCGGAUGUGUUUCCAGAAGAGUUGUCGGGUGUGCCUCCAGAGAGGCAAGUAAAGUUCGGUAUUAAAUUAGUUCCGGGAGCUGCGCCUAUUGCCAAGGCGCCUUAUCGCCUUGCGCCUCCGGAGAUGCAGGAGUUAUCCUCGCAGCUCUAGGAGCUGCUGGGGAAGGGGUUUAUUAGGCCGAGCAGUUCGCCAAGGGGGGCACCUAUCCUUUUUGUUAAGAAGAAGGAUGGUUCACACCGUAUGUGCAUCAAUUACCGGGAGUUGAACAAGAUAACGGUCAAGAACCGUUACCCAUUGCCGAGGAUUGACGAUUUGUUCGAUCAGUUGCAUGGAGCAUCUUGGUUCUCCAAGAUCGAUUUGAGGUCUGGGUAUCAUCAGGUGAGGGUGCGAGAUGAGGACAUCCAGAAGACAACAUUUCGGACUUGUUAUGGACAUUACUGUUGGGUUAUGAGCAUUCUAACACUCCUAAGUGUACAUGCAACCCUAAAUACCUUGGAUCUAUGUUUUCUCUAUUAUACAUGCAAAUAAGAACUUCCAAGGUAUUAUCCUAAUCUAGCAUAUAAAACUAUCAAUAUAACAAGAUAGAAUACAUAACUCUUUGAUGUAGAAAGUCUUCAUGAAGCUUGAGUGCCUAGUGCCCCAAGUGUGACACCUCAAAUGGUUCACACAACACCAAAUACACUUGGAAUAACUUGAGAGAAAUCCACAACUCAUGAAAUCGGCUAGCCCUUAUCCUUACAUACUCUAGUGCCCGAUUUUGGUCAAGAAUAAGAUCUUUAUAUAGUGUUACAAUUAGGGUAAACCCUAAUUGUCAUGACUUUCCAUUUCCUUGGAUCCAUGGGUUCAAAUACACCAUGGAGCAUCCAUGGACCAUCAUAUGGGUUUUGGCCCAACUUGAUUAUCCAUGGAGCAUUAGCCCACUAUACAAGUAUGGAUGAUUUACACAAUCAACCCAUAUAUUUAAUUAGUCUUCUUUUGAUCACUUAAUUAAUCCUAGAUUAAUUCUUGAUCAAUACUAAUUAAAUAAUCUUAUUAUUCUUAUUAUUAAUAUACUAGAACUUAUAAUAUAUUAAUAACCAUAAGUGUCUUAUUUCUCUCAUUAUAGUCUAUCCAAGUGCAUGAUGGUAUGCAACCCAAAUGGACCAUGCCGGGUCGGGUCAAGUCUUACCAAUUAUAGUUAUGGACUUAGACAUUAAUCCAACAGUCUCCCACUUGGAUAAGUCUAAAACUAUUAUUGCGUAUGACUUCAGGAACCAACUGGCAAUCGUAGCUCUCAAAAGCUUCUGUCGAACUCUGACCUUGUAGAUGAACUCUGACCUUUGUCAAUGACUUGUCCAUUAGAUAAGGGAUCAUAUAUUCCUCCAUUCUAGAUAUCAUAUGGACUGAGACAUGGAUUAUAAUCAUUCUCUCUGUCCAUUUGUUGUUUCCCGAUUUCCGAUUUAUGACGACUGACUAAUUGAACAAAUCAAAUCAGUCCUGGCCCGGCCGAGCACUUCCAUUUGUCAUCAUCAAAUCAUCGAGGGGCCCACAGAUAUCGCUUUUAUCCCGAAGGUAAAAGGAAUGGAUAAACUUCGACUCAUAUGGCUUGUUCUACUACUUGUUGAAUCAUACACAAAGGCACGUUUUAUAGCACCGAGUUACCAAAUGCGUUUUCGUGCAAUCAAUGUACUAUCAACUCAUAGUAACAACUCAUAUCUCUAGGUUUGAAGAAUAUAAGAUAUUAUCGUCUCAUGAUCACUCGUGAUAAAAUCCAUGAAGUGAUUCCAAUGAGCGCGGGUUGAAUCCAAUACUCAGAACUUAUGAGCACUCAUGAGUGUUGUAGCCCUUUGUCCAACACCUUAGACCUCUACAAGCCAACCCAUGACAGUCUUAAUUCAUAUCUACUUCCAACAUAUGACCGACUGUGGAUGGUUUGAAUAACUUAGUCAUUCCGGAAGAAUAACCCAGUUUAUUCGGGAAGUCAAAACAUGCAAAAUGAAACACAAUAAUAAUUGAAUCCAAUAUGGUAUCAACCCUUUGAACAUAAAUAAAACACCUUUUAUUUAUCACCAUAUGAUUACACAUUAUUCAUUGUAUACUGUUUCAGCUAUCAACUUUAUUCUUGAAUUUAAAACAAUAGUUGUCCCAUGCUCCAAGCAUGUACACUAUGUUUUCUUAAACACUAGUCAUGCCACACACCAAGUAUGCAUACUAUGUUUGUCUAUGAUCUUUACUUUGUGAACUAGAUCAAUUGAACAUAACUUCAAUGAUUCUCUUUUCACACUCCCAAAUCCUUACUGCAAAUGCAAGAAUUCCAAAUUCAUGCCAUUUACUGAAAUCUGUUAGAUUCUAAACUUAUAUGCAUUGAUCCUCUUGUAAUGAUUAUGCACAAAGUCACAAAGACUUGGCAACAAUCAUUACAGAGUAUUCCAAAGGAGAUCAACUCCUUGGAAAUAUCCUUCUUGCAUUAAGUUUCCUUAAUCUUACACAGAUUGAAAAUUCUAACUUUGAAACAUUUCCAGAUUCCAUUUUGACUAUCACUUCUGAACAAGAGUUGCCUCCUUACAGAUUAUGUCAAUAUGGUCCUUCCAGAAUUAUCACUAUACUUCCAAUUGUCCUUGAGUAACCAAUCUUUGGUAAACCUUAGAUUGUCCUCGACAAUUGUUUAAUCCUUUUAGUCAUAUCCAGUUCUAAACCUUUUCCCUUCUUAAUGCCCCAGGCAUUUGGAAAAUUUUAGAACGGAUGAAUAUAGCACAUGUAAUCGAUCCUAUAUCCGAAGCAUAUGGGACACGAUUCAUGAUGUCUUACAUAAAGACUAAACCAGUCUUUUGCUAUAAUAUUUCCAUUUCAAUUUGCCAAGUUCUCAUAAUUCAGAUUAUGAAAAGGGAUGCCGUAAUCAUAAUCGAAUUUUAGAACGCAAAUAAUGGACCCAUAUACAGAAUUUCCUUAUGUUGAGCCAUUCCAACAUGAAAUUCAUAUAUAUCCUUGACUAAAUGAUUAAAACCUCACGAUCUAAGCUUAUAGAUUUGAGAUGAAGCAUAAUUUCCUCUCCCUUAAUUAUAGCAAAACAACUUUUUCCCAAUUGAAACUUUUGUUUUCUAUAAUUAACAUUGCUAACUUGCAAUACUUAUCAUAAUUAUCAUGCUCCCACUAACAUGAUGAUUAUUAGCAUAACACUUAUGCUCCCACUAGCUUUGACAUGUACUCAGAAAUCAGCUGGACAGUCUGAAAUUUAGAUUCAUACACCCUUUCCGUAGAUAGCUCACCUGUGUGUCUAAGCAAUUUCAAGAACCAUGAAAAGGGAUACCGUAAUCAUGGUCUCAAUUGCUUAGGCAUUUGCCAUUUCUCACAAGUCCAUGUUAGUGUGCCGGUUAACCACACGCGCUCCACUAACGACUUUUGAAAAUGCAAAUAACACAAUUGAUAUCUUCGUAAAAUCUACUUAGUGAAAGCGUUUCCUCACCAUCAUUUUCAUGAAUCGGAGAGAAACCUUAUGACACUUAGAUUUAUAUGGUGUAUGAGUUCCUACCCAUAUGAAUUUGUCAAACCAUAAUCACAAGACAAAGAUAAUGACAAAUCCAAAACCAUAUGGAUUGAACUCAAUCUUAACUUCUUGCCACCUGGCAGCUCAAGGGCCUGCCAUUGCUUCCAAGUUGUUAUGCAACAAACUGAGAACUCUAAGAACUCAUAUGCAAAGCCAACUUUAACUGGAAUGGGCACAGAUAUGUCAACACGAUAGGUUAUAAACCUCAAGUCGUGUGCUAGUGAAGAACUUUAGGUUUUAUUCUUGAUUAUUUCUUGAGACUUUCAAGACCUUUAAGACUCCCACUGUCCUCUUGACAUAUAAGACUCCCUUGUCAAACAUCCAAGAGAUAGUGCGGAUUCUAAUCAAGAAAAACACUUUACCCAAUUGGCCUAAGUUGGUCUUUGUUUUAUCCAAAACAUCACAACUUACCAAUUUCAAAUGUACAAGAGUAGAAAACUUUUACUCUUACAUUUGACAAGUGUUUUAAACCUUCUUUAAGACAUGUCACUCAAAUGACAAUCUUGGAGUAUGACUCUAAGACUUGUAUUGGAACGAAGUAUGACUCAUCUUCUUGAUUUAACCAUUUCAACAAUUCAAGUUCCUCUUCUUAGUCAUAAGAAUGCACUAAGAUUUCCUUAGAGAACUAAUUUUGAUAUGGUUUCUUAAUCAUUAAGAUGAUCACAAAACUGAUACUAAAGUACUCUCCCAUCUUUUCAGAUUUGAGAAACUUUUAUCCUUCUGCCUUAUUUGAUUCUUCUUAUCGAUCUUUAGUGGUGGACUUAAUCAGUGCACAAGAAUGUGUACUCGAUCCCUAAGUCCUUUACUUGACUCACACAUCCAUGUGAACAAGUAAUUAGUCUUAAUUUUCCAAAACUUGAAAGUUCUCAUUCAUCAUGCUAUACAACUUGCAUGAUUCCAAGUUCCGGUCCAAUUGAAACUUGGGUGAUGAGAAUCUUUCCUUAUUUGGUAAAUUUAGACAUUACCACAAAUGAAAGAAUCAAUUUCAUAUUUCCACUCUUGCUCUUAAUGGAAUCAUAUAAGCAACAAUUUUUCCUCAAAUGCCAUUGUAAGGAUAUUUUAAAAUAAAUAAAAUCAAAAAAAUUUUCUUUUAUUUUAAAACUUUGCGGAAAAACUUAUCCUUACAAUCCAUAUGAAAACUUGUUGUUAUCUAUUCCUAAGCAAUAUCUCAUAACUCCUAAGAAGUAGCUCAAGAAUCCGAUCUUCAAACUAUGCGAUAGAAAUCCAUCUACGCCAUCAGAUUCAGCAUAUUCUUUCUUUAAGUUUCUUCACUUUUCUUUGAUUCUUAAAACAUCACCAUGUGACCCAGUCACAUCAUGUAUCAAGAAUCUCAGAAUAGAAACUUAACAGAGUUAGAUAGUGGACUUUACCUGAAGUAGAGUCAAACUUAUUGACUUUAACAUCCUUAGGUAAAUUUGGCAGCUUCGCAACCAAUGCCCCUUCCUUUGGCAAUAUAAACAUAUGGACCCUUUGAUAAUGGUACACGGGACUAUCACAGACUUAGCUUUUCUCUUUACCAUUUGGUCAACCGAGUUGACUAUGGCCGAUCCCUUUCCAUUGGGAAGAGAAUGCUUUACUGGAUAUCCAAUGUCAUCAUUGUCAAUGUCCAUAAAGUUUUAGGAAGUUGAUCUUAGCAAAUAGAUAAGAUCAUUAAGGGUCUUGUCAUAGUCUGUUUCAUAGGUGUCCCAAAGGAACUCACUAUGUGACUUAGAAAGUGGUUGAACCACCAACUUUCUCAAGACUUUGACACCCAACUCUCCCGGCUUGUCAAUAUGUGACUACAUCUCCAAGAUGUGACCACACCUAGACCUUGCCUUGCCAAUAGGGCCUGAGUGACCUUAAACUUUUCAAGAACUUGUGGGUUAGGGAGAAUAAUUUGAAGAGGUGAAGAAGUAUGAUAUCCAUGGGACAUCAUCUUCAUUAGGAAACCUUGUUUCAAGAGAUUUGGGAAGAUCAUAGGUGUCUAAACCAGACAUCUUUUGGGAGAUAUUCAAGAUAGUUGAUUUAAAGUCCUUAAUAUGACACCCAAUAUGAAAUAUUAAGGCUAGGACCCAACAAACUAUUUUAUAACUUAGAAGAGGUAUGCCGUAAUCCAAGCUAUAAAAUAUUUGAAGGUAGGUGAAUGACGAUUCACCAAUUUCCACCAAGAUAAACGAAAUGUAUUAUUAGGUUUUAAUUGGUUUUGAAACUCCUAGAUCUUUGAGAUUCAUUGAACUUUUCAAAGGCAUGUUUCAAUCUCGAGUGUGCCCUUCAGGUUUUGUGACUGGGAUGCCGAGGAUCACAAAACAAGGUGUGAAGUAACCAUGCAAAUCACUUGGUACCCUUAAUAAAUUACCCCUCAAUCGAUGUGCCGGUUAACCACACACGCUCCAUCGAUACUAUGAUAAAUAUUAAGUCACCCUUUACCUACCUUGUUAAGUCCAAGUUAGUGUGCCGGUUAACCACACACGCUCCACUAACGACUUAGACAAAGUGUAAAGUGUAAUUUCAUGGAUUAGCACCUUAUUCACAUUUUUCCUAAGUAACUAAGAUUGGGUAUUAUUAAGAGUUUAGUUACUUAGUAUUAUCAUUAAUACUUUUAAUGAAGGGAGAAUUCUAGUCCUGUCAAACCCGUUCGGCUAACGACCCUCCACCAGUCAAGCAAGCGGUGGGUGAGAGUGGACACCCAUUAAGUUGCCAUUUUAUAGGCAACAACCUUAUACCCACCUUAUAGACCGGCUUCGUGAAUGAGGCGUACUAGCGGUAAGACUGACUUUACUCUUAUACAUAUAUAUAUUAUUAACUUAUAAUAUUAUAAAGUAUAAGGGUUGAAUUUUAACUUUUAAAAUUCUAAGGGCUAACUUGGAAUUAAAGUAUUCAUACUUGAAAACUUUUCAAAUUCCAAAACUUGAGGGCAAGUUUUGAAACUAUUCAAAACUAAUUAAUUCCAUAACUUAUGUGUUUAAAGUAGUUUUAAUCCAAAAACUCUUCAAGUUCCAUAACUUGAGGACAAGUUAUGGAAGACUUUAAACUAAUAAAAGAACUAACUUUUUCUUUAUUUUAUAACUUAUGGAUUUAAUUAUGGUUACAUAUUUUUCUUUAAUGAAGUGACUCUUGAACUUCCAUAACUUGAGGACAAGUUAUGGAGUCAAAAAAAAUUAUUCAAUGACACAAGACUCUUCAUUUUGUAACCAUUGCCAACUUUUAUGAAUUUUAUGAGUCUUUAAUGUGACUCUUCAUGUAACUUGAGGACAAGUUACACAAACACAUUUUAUACUCAACUCUUAGAUUAAAAUGGAUUGAAAACAACUAUUUCACUCAACAUUUCUAUUAAUCUAAGCAACUCAUAAGAACAAGAUAAUUCAAAUCAAACUUUUUCAUGUAAUUAGUCUAAACCUUAAACUAAUACAAAACAUGAAUCUAUUGACAAUUAUCUUUGAAAAUGGAUUAGCAUGAACAUUACCACAUCAAAAACAAGUUUAUAAGUUCAAAAACAACUUAGGGUAAUGUUCCUAGUCCAUUUCUAGCCAAAAAACUCGAAAAUAUGCUGUCUGGGGGUCCAACUCGUCGAGUGCAUGAACAAACUCGGCGAGUUGGAUCGAAUUCAUCACUUUUUAGGCAUGGACUCGUCGAGUCUCCUGAUGGACUCGCCGAGUCUGAUGGCCAGACAGCACCAGAUUCGUUUUUUCAGCUUCUAUUGCAGGUAUAAAAAGAAAACAAGCCUAGGCUCUGAUACCACUGUUGGGUUUUGAGCAUUCUAACACUCCUAAGUGUACAUGCAACCCUAAAUACCUUGGAUCUAUGUUUUCUCUAUUAUACAUGCAAAUAAGAACUUCCAAGGUAUUAUCCUAAUCUAGCAUAUAAAACAAUGAAUAUAACAAGAUAGAAUACAUACCUCUUUGAUGUAGAAAGUCUUCAUGAAGCUUGAGUGCCUAGUGCCCCAAGUGUGACACCUCAAAUGGUUCACACAACACCAAAUACACUUGGAAUAACUUGAGAGAAUUCUACACUUCAUGAAAAUCGGCUAGCCCUCUCUAGAAUGAUACUAGUGGCCGAUUUUGUCAAGAAUAAGAUCUUUAUAUAGUGUUACAAUUAGGGUAAACCCUAAUUGUCAUGACUUUCCAUUUCCUUGGAUCCAUGGGUUCAAAUACACCAUGGAGCAUCCAUGGACCAUCCUAUGGGUUUUAGCCCAACUUGAUUAUCCAUGGAGCAUUAGCCCACUAUACAAGUAUGGAUGAUUUACACAAUCAACCCAUAUAUUUAAUUAGUCUUCUUUUGAUCACUUAAUUAAUCCUAGAUUAAUUCUUGAUCAAUACUAAUUAAAUAAUCUUAUUAUUCUUAUUAUUAAUAUACUAGAACUUAUAAUAUAUUAAUAACCAUAAGUGUCUUAUUUCUCUCAUUAUAGUCUAUCCAAGUGCAUGAUGCCAUGCAACCCAAAUGGACCAUGCCGGGUCGGGUCAAGUCUUACCAAAUAUAGUUAUGGACUUAGACAUUAAUCCAACAAUUACGAGUUCGUAGUGAUGCCUUUCGGACUCACCAACGCACCGACGGUGUUCAUGGAUCUCAUGAACAGGGAGUAUAGACCGAUGUUGGAUCGCUCAGUGAUCGUGUUCAUCGACGAAAUAUUGGUGUAUUCGAGAUCCAGAGAGCAGUAUGAAGAGCAUUUGAGGGAGAUCCUUGGAGUUCUGAGAUCGGAGAGGCUUUAUGCCAAGUUCUCCAAAUGUGAGUUCUGGCUACGAGAGGUCUAGUUUUUGGGGCAUGUCGUUAACCAGGAUGGGAUAUUGGUCGAUCCGGCCAAGAUUGAGGCGGUCAUGAGGUGGGAGGUGCCGAGAUCACCCACCGAGAUCAGGAGUUUUAUGGGUUUGGCCGGCUAUUAUCGGAGAUUUAUUAAGGAUUUCUCCAAGAUCGUCGUGCCACUCACCAAGUUGACCCAGAAAGGUGCUGCAUUUUCUUGGGGUCCGGAGCAGUAGACCUCAUUUGAGACACUCCGCCAGAAAUUAUGCGAAGCCCCAGUAUUAGACCUUCCGAAAGGGAUGUAGGAUUUUGUGGUAUAUUGUGAUCCAUCGAUACCCGGAUUGGGAGUGGUGCUUAUGUAGAGGGGGCAUGUGAUAGCAUAUGCAUCGAGGCAGUUUAAGCCUCAUGAGUCGAGGUAUCCCACUCAUGAUUUGGAACUGGGAGCGGUAGUGUUCACCCUCAAGAUUUGGCGACAUUAUCUGUAUGGGGUUCGGUGUACGAUAUACACGGACCACAAGAGCUUGAAGUAUUAGAUGGAUCAGCCCAAUCUGAAUAUGCGCCAAAGGAGGUGGUUGGAUGUGGUCAAGGAUUAUGAUUGUGAGAUCCUGUACCACCCGGGCAAGGCUAAUGUUGUAGCCGAUGCACUGAGCCGUAGGGCGGAGGGCACCCCAAUGCGAGAUGUUUGUUUGAGAUUGACAGUGAUAACCCCGGUGUUGGAUGCUAUUCAUGGGGCCCAGGCUAAGGUUGUGAGGCCAGAAAGCCAGAAGUGAGAGCGAGUUGUCAGGCUGGUAUCGGAAUUCGUUACCAAUAGCCGGUGUAACGCCUGUGUUUCGGGCUUGUCAUUUGUAGCAAUGUAGUAGUCUAGGUUGACCUUUGUAACCCAUUUUGAAGUAAUAAGAUUGUAUUAUUUGAGUAUUUUGUGUUUUGUGCUUAAUUGCUUAAUUAUGUGGUUUGAUUAAUUAAGAAUAAAAAUAAGCGUCAAAAUUUAAGUGUAAAAUAAACUUAAUAUCUUUGGUUAAUGUUGUAGUAAUUGAAACGAGGUUUCCGAAUAUAUAUAGAACGCCCAAAUCUGACUUCGUAUGAGGAAGUUAUGAUUUAUCGAAGUUCCGGCUUAGCGAUAUACAGCCUGUUUUACUCGAUUUGAGAUCGAGCGUUUGUUAGCCGAAGCAAUCUAAAUGAGAAUCGAAGAUCUCAUUGUUGGUAUUGAAACGAUAAAAAGUUAGGCGAGAACGGACGUCAAACGAAGAAGUUAUGAAUUUAUAACGAAAGUUUCUGUCCCGGCCUAUUAAAAAUAAUUAAUAAAAAUAAAGUCAAAAUUAGCCGACGGAGUCUAAACGAAAGUCGUAGAGCAUGGUCUCACCUUCGCGUGGAUAUAAAGAACGUCGAAAACGGAGUUCGUAUGAAGAAGUUAUGAAUUUCCGAAGUUUAUUAAUCAUUUUAUAUUUAUUUUUAAUUCAAAAUCGGAAGCAUUAUCCGAAGCCGAGUCACCGGUGUGAUCCGGAGUACGCCCCGCGUACGAGGUUACGCUACCGCGUACUCAGCAUAGUGUCGACACUUCGGAUGACGCAUGCAAUGACGAUUUCGGACGCGUACGCGCUGCGUACGCCUGUACGCCCCGCGUACUCCGAGGCUCCAGCCUCUAUAUAAAGGAUCCGAAGACAGCCUUCUUUGUUGUUCAUUUUCUUCUCUUCUCUCUAGUCUUUUGCAUCGUUUUUCGUGCCGAAGCUAUCCCGAAGCCCCGGUAUUAUACUCUAGCCCCGAGGCAAGUCCCGAGAUCCCGAAGAUCCCGAAAAGUGCGGUUCCCGAGUCGAAGCUCUGCCCGCGAGAAGUUCGAUUUUCGAGGAGAUCUUCCAGAUCUGCUGUGGAUUACUACUUCUAUAAGCCGUAGUGCUGUCCGAUCAUCUUCUGAUCAAGUGAGUGUGUAGUUAUUUCUUCUAAUACAAUAAUACGAAGUAUUUUAUAUAAAAAUACGUGCUAUGUGUAUAUAUUUGGUUGUGUUAUGUGUGAAUGAGUAUUCACUCUCUUCUAUCUUAUAGAUCUGCUUAUUUCUUUAUGAGAUAUGUGUUAUGUGUGUGUGUGCCUCAUCUGUUAUGUGAUAUAUGUGUUGAUUAAAGCAUGCUAUACAGGUUUUCUUUAAACUAUGUAUACAAAUGUAUAUUUUUAUCUACUAAUAUGUUGGGUAGAACAUGGGUAGACAGUUGGUGUGUAAUAAACAGAUGAGAGGCCUCGUUGUUGUUUGAUUGAGUCAUCUAGCGGAGUUUAGAUGACGACCACUGGCUAUUCUAGACAGUCUUGUGGAAACAUUAGCAGGUUCGCCACCUGUAGGUGUUAAUGAACUUGGGUGUUCAUUCGCUGUACUCCAUCCCCCUCAUGGUUGCCUUAUUUGACUUAUAUUGCUGAGGUACCCCCGAAGCAUGUGUUGUCGCCCCGAUGAAAUAUUCUUAGACUAGGUCCCUUAUGUUAGUUGUUUUAGGGACAUUAAAGUGAGAAUAACGGGAAUGGGUAAUUGGGUUAUUGUUGGUUGGUGAAAAUUAAAUAUGAUAUUUAUUGUGGGUUGAAAACCCUAUAUGCUCACCAGGCUCCCAAGCCUGACCCACUCAGUUUUAAAUUGUAUUACAGGUAGUGGCGGAAGGGCAUGAGAUGGAUGAACCAUCAAGUUGUUUUGUUUACAAGUCUGCAUAUGUUUAUAUUUGUUAUAUGACUUGUAAUGUAUUCGUUUAUGCUUAUUGGUCUGUAUCGGAACAUGACACCCCGAGUUUUGAUUAUAAUGAAAAUACAUUUCUUUUAUGAAAUGCUUCGGUAAACAAUGUUUUAUCAUGUUUUGUUUUUGGGAACAAAUUCCGCAACUCUUUCAAAUCAAAAGGAUUUACUCUGAAAAUAUUUAAAAGCAUAAAUGAAAAUCGGUCUUUUCUGGCCGAGAUUUUGGGGAUGUCAUAGCCGGGGGCUUAUGAAAUUUCAGGGUCAGAUAUGGGUACUGUCCAUGGGCGGAAUGUGUACCAUUUUGAUGGAAGAGGCUCAUCGAUCGAAAUUCUCGAUCCAUCCCGGGGCCACUAAGAUGUAUUUGGACCUGAAAAAGGAAUAUUGGUGGCCCGGUAUGAAGAGGGAUGUCGCAUGGUUUGUAGAGAGAUGCUUCACCUGUCGCAGGGUUAAGGCCGAGCACCAGCUUCCACAUGGUAAGCUGCAACCAUUAGAGGUUCCCGAGUGGAAAUGGGAACAUAUUACCAUGGAUUUCAUCACCAAAUUGCCAAGGACCGCGAGGGGUGUCGAUGCAAUUUGGGUGAUUGUGGACAGGUUGAACGAAGAGCGCUCAUUUCCUUGCUUUCAGUGAGAGCUCUUCCGCGGAAAGGUUGGUAGAGAUGUACGUGAGAGAGGUGGUAUCGCGGCACGGAGUGCCGAUCUCGAUUGUCUCAGAUCGAGAUGUACGAUUCACUUCCAGAUUCUAUAAGAAGAUUCAUGAGGAAUUGGCUACGAGACUGCAUUUUAGUACCGCAUACCACCCAUAGACUAACGGGCAGAGUGAGCGGACGAUUCAGACGCUCGAGGACAUGCUCCGAGCAUGUGUGUUGGAUUUCGGCGGGAGUUGGGACACGUAUUUGCCCUUGGCAGAGUUUUCUUACAACAACAGCCAUCAUUCGAGCAUUGGCAUGGCGCCCUUUGAGCUGUUGUAUGGGAGGAGGUGUCGAACCCCCAUUUGAUGGGGAGAAGUAGGGCAGCAUGUGACGGGUAGCACCGAGAUCAUGCUUCAAAUGACAGAACAGAUUCAGCAGGUCAGACAGAGGUUGUUGACCACUCAGAGUCGUCAUAAGAGUUAUGCGGACAGACGCCGGUCCGAGCUCGAGUUUCAGGUCGGCGACUUCGUGCUCCUAAAGGUCCCUCCUUGGAAAGGAGUGAUUCGAUUUAGGAAGAGGGGAAAGUUGGGGCCCCGAUAUAUUGGUCCUUUCAGGGUGAUCACGAGGGUAGGCAGGGUAGCCUAUCGUUUGGACUUACCACCAGAGUUAGGUCAGAUUCAUGACACCUUCCACGUGUCGAAGCUGCGAAAAUGUAUAGCCGACGAGUCGGCAGUGGUGCCAUUAGAAGAUAUUCAGGUGGAUGCGAGCCUGAAUUAUGUUGCGAGACCAGUGACGAUUAGGGAUCAGAAGAUCAAGGUUUUGAGGAACAAGUAGGUGCCUCUGGUUCAGGUCCAGUGGCAGCAUCGAAAAGGGUUAGAGUUUAUUGGGAGCCGGAGCGUGAGAUGCGGGAGCAGCAUCCAGAGUGAGACUUUGAGGGCGAAGUCUGAUUCUAGUGGGGGAGAAUUGUAACAUCCAGGAGACUCGGCGAGUUGGUGUUUAAACUCGCCGUGUAUGGUCACGGAUUCGUGUCCGAGUUCACAGCUGGACUCGGCGAGUUCAUGAGUGGACUCGGCGAGUCCACGCUGUUUAAAGAAACCCUAAUUUCCAGGGUUUGAGACCUAUUUAAAGGCCCUUAGGGCAAUCAUUUGCGGCCACCAAACCCCAAAGAGAAACCCUAAGAGAUCUAGAGCGUUUGUGAGGAAGGAGAAGCCAUUCUUGAUCCUUUUGUUGGUGAUUUUGCAAGAAGAAUGUGACCAAGGCAAGAGGAGGCUAAAGGACGUGCGAUUUUGGUGAUUUCUGAGUUCAUCGAGAUCAUAUUAAAGUAUUUUGCUCGUACCUUCUUCAGUUUUGGUGUUGAUUCUUAGUGUUAGGGUUUUCUAACCCUUCUAGAGGUUGGAUAAGUGGAUCAUUUGGUCCCUUCUCGAGUCUAUGUUUUGGAUCUGGACCCAAAGAGGUCCAGAGACCUUAAUCCUUGGAGCUUUAUGAGUCAUUUUGGGAGCCAUGAGCUUGGGAUGUCAUUUUUGGGGCUAAAUCACCAUGUUAGACCAUUUAGAUGUUAUAUAAGUGUCAAGGUCUGAACUUUACGUGAUUAUCAUGCUUGGGAAGGCCAUAUCUAUGAAUGUAAGGAACAGAUCUGACCUCAGGAGGUCUAUGGAGUUUGUGCAUGGUAUGAAAUCGCCGAGUCCGAAGAGCAGACUCGGCGAGUAGGAUGAGGGUUUCCCGUAAAGCACUCAGUGAGUAGACUUGCCGAUUUGGGGAAUAACUCGGUGAGUCAGGGAGAGUUGGGGGGACUGGAGGUCAAGGCGGAACUCGCCGAGUUGUUCUUGAGACUCAGCGAGUUGAGUCGGGGUGGCCCCGCGAUUCAUGCCAGGUGUGACUCAUCGAGAAAGGGGAGGAACUCGACGUGCCAAGCGAGACUAAAGAGUUAGUGGACAUGUGUAGACUCGUCGAGUCGCCCAAGUGCACUCGACGAGUCGGGUCAAAGUUUGACCGGUGACUUUUGUUGACUUUUAGGGUUGGGUAUAGUUGUAUUUAUGAGAGUAUUUACUUCGUGUGACUAGGCGGAGGGUAGAUCACAUUUCUACCGAGUCAGAAACUUACCGAGACACCUGAGGUGAGUCUUCUCACUAUACGUUACCUAGAGUGGUAUUAUGUGAUGAUUAGAUGGGUCUUAUGUGUUAUGUAUGAGAUUAUGUUCUAUGUGAUAUAUGUAUGCUGUAUGAUGAUAUAGACCAGACCGGAGGGUCCAACGAGCUAUGACCGGACCAGAGGGUCCAAGGAGCUACGGGACUGGAGGGUCCCGUUGAGACACAUCGACCAGAGGGUCGUACAUUGACCUCGAGUGGCGUAUGUGUUGUAUGCGGUAUUUUGGGGAACUCACUAAGCAUUUAUGCUUAUAGUUGUUGUGUUAUGUGUUUCAGGUACUAGUGAUGAACGCGGGAAGGCGCCGACAUGAUUCGUACACACGCACAUUGGAGUUAUAUAUAUUCUGACCUUGGGGUUUUGUACUGAUACAAUGUUGAUACAAUGUUUUUAAAAUGAAUGUGAAUGAUAUUUUAUGGUUUUAUCAAAAGUGAAAAAUUGUUCAAAUUUUAAGGUGUUACAUUAGUUGUGUUGUGCUAUAUAAUAUUUACUGUUUUAUUGUAAAGGGUACAUCGGAUUAAUUGAUGGAUAUUUUAAUAUUUAGGUUUACAAUUAUGUGAUGCCUAUUUUGGCUGAGCAGUUCCGGAUAAUGGGGAGUACACGGGUGUUGUUGAUAGUGCCAAAGAGUUGUUGCGGGCUGUUGAUGUUGUUCACUGACUUACAACAAAUAACAUCACAUUCCAAUGUGAAGUUCGACGUCAUUCUAUUAAAGGUGCAUAGGCAAUAGGCCAUGAAGAGGAUGAGGAUCGACAAAGAUAUUGCACGUUUUGUCGUUGGUAUGUAGAGUAUGGUAGGUUUUGUAUAUUUUUUAAAAAUAUUAAUGGUUGAUAAUAGAAUGGACAUUGAAUAUUAUUGUUCUUAUUGUAUUGUAUAUGAAGUUGUAUAGUACUACUAUAAUUUUAUUUUGGUUUUGUGUUUACAUCGUUCUAUUAAACGGGCAUUUUAGUCAUUUUUGCUUGCUAUGUUGUUUGAGUAGGAUGAAGUAUACGUAAAACCCAUGUUAUUUUUGUGAUGAAGUAUAGUUAAUAUAAUUAAAAAUAAGUUUUUAAUGAAUUUGUUAUUAAGGAAAAUAAUCUACAUAGAUUAUAUAUACUUUAACAUGCCCGGUUAAUGUAAUUAAAAAUAACUUUGUAAUGAAUUCGUUGUUAAUUAUUCCUUAUAUACUAUGUUUUCAAGAAAUUAUACACAACUUGAUUAGCACAACUGGCUUAACCGCGCCCUUUUCUAGCAUAAGCUUAAGUUCGAGUCUGCUUGCCAGCAAUAUCUACUUUAUAAUUCAUUUUUACAUUUUUUAGCCAUUAGUUUAUGCCACAUACUACCAACUCAAAAACCUUUCAUUCAAACCAUAUCUUACAAAUUCCAAUGAUCAUAAUAAUAAUUCAUCCAUAGUAUAACAAAAUUAAUUAAGCAACAUCCCAAAAAAUACCGUCACAAAUUAGCUACGCGUUUUGUUCCAUAAAAAAACAAGCAAACAAAAUCAUACUCCAUAGUAGAAUUCCCUAGCAAAUACCUACAAAUGGUACUUCCAUAGAAAUUUUACUAUAGAAUUGGUUUCCAUCACAAACUUAGUUGCAUAGUAACCACAAUGAUGAAUUCCAUCGCUGCAGUACAACGGAAAGUGAUUUGGUAACAAAUGUCGUUGGAAAAUUGCUACGAUUUUUUGUUCCAUAGAACUAUCUGUGACAUCCCCAUUUUCACGGCCAGAAAAGACCGAUUUUGUUUAUGCUUUAUAAAAAUCAGAGUGUCCCUUUUAAUAAAAAUGUCGCGGAAUUUGUUCCCAGAAAAAUACGAUAAAUACAUUAUCAAAACAUUUUUGAAGAAACGUAUUUUAUUCAUUUUAAAAUGUUUGGGAUGUCAUCGUCAAUACAGGAACAUAAGCAUAAACGGAACUUACAUUUAUUCACACUAGUGAUCUACAUCUCUUUAAAUCUCUCAGUGUAAUGUGACUUCAUAGCAACACCUGCGAUAUAAAUAAACUGAGUGGGUCAGGUUGGGAAACCUGGUGAGUACACAGGGUUUUCUACCCACAAUAAUAUAAUUAUUAUGUUUAAACAAUCAAACAAUUAAACCCCAUUACCCAUCCCCAUUAUAUUCUCUAUUCUUAAGGAUCUACCCUAAGAAUCAGUUUAUUCCUCGUUCAUUCGUUCCUAAGGAUCAUCCAAAGGAAUCGGCAUGAAGUCUAUCGUUGCCAUGGUUCACACAAUGGGCACUAAGUCUGCAUAGUCGCCAGGGUUUAGGCACUAAGUCUACAUAGUCGCCAGGGUUUAGGCAUCAAGUCUGCAUGAUCACCAAGGUUUAGGCACAAGGUCUGCAUGGUCACCAAGGUUUAGAGUACACUGGGUGAACACGUCAUUCACAACACCUACAGGUUGCGAGCCUGCUAGUGUUCCACUGGAUUGUCUACAAUAGUCCGUGCUUGUCAUCCAUACUCUGCUGAAUGACGGGGACAUCAUUUGGGAAAAAAGGCUUCUCACAUCGUAUACCUCUCACCCAUACCUCAAGGUCUAUAUCACCUCUCAACUCAUCGUUCAAAUCAGAUUUCAUCUAUUAUAUCUACCCAUGUUUUACCCCAACAUUUUCGUAGAUAUAAAAUACAUAUAUAGUUUAAAUCAUUUAAAACAUGUAUAAAAUCUUUCACCGAGCAUAGACAGCAAGUAAACAGACAAUAUGCACAAAUAGCACGUAGUAAAUACUUCAUAUCUAUGUGUAAGUUGAAGGGGACCAUGCACUCACCUGAAAGGUGGUGACUCAGCACUCGGACAGCGCUUCGAUACUCUCAAAACAAUUAUCCCUUGAUGAAACCUAGUAUCAAUACCACUAGGGUAUAGUCUAACGAUAACCGCAACAAAUUAAUAGUCUAGCUAUUAUUAUUAUUAUAUAAGCGUUAAAUAAUACUCAAUAUAACUCAUAAUAAUAGCCCAAAUACUCAUUAUAAGUUCCUAAUAACGUUACUAUAUUAAAACAUAAGCUAUACUAAAGAUAGAGUAGGCAUAGCUCACUUACAGCGGAUUUUCUCGAAAACUGGGAUUCGCUGGAGCAGCGUUUCCAAGCCGAAAGGCUCUUUUCUCGGGACUCCCGGAGUCUCGGGGCUUCCUUCGGGUGCUAGGGGGUUUACCUAGGCUUUAGGGGGGGUUUGGAAGGCUAGAGAGAGAAAGUGAGUUUGGGAGGUGUGAAGAAGAGGCUAGACCCGGCACCUCUAUUUAUAGUGAAAAUAUCUAAUGGACUCGCCGAGUAGGGGGACCUACUCGCCAAGUUGGUGCAUGUGGUGGCCUUCUGGUGGUGCCACGUGUCCAAUUCUGGUGGUGCCACGUCACCCCUAUCGCGCAUCAGCCUUCAAACUUAGAAAAAUCAUAACUCUCGCAUACGAGCUCCGUUUUCGACGUUUCUUUUUUCAACGCGUAGGUAAAAUCAAGAUCUACAACUUUCAUUAAUACUUCGUCGGCUAAUUCUCGACCGAUCUCAGAUUUAAUAGUAGGAGGCGUUUAGACUGUUAAAUGACCGCGAAGAAUUCAUAACCCUUCAUACGGACUCCGUUUUCGUCUAUCUUUUUACCAUCGAGUUCCUAUUAAUGAGAUCUUCAACUCUCAUUUAAGUCGCCUAAGCCAAAAACUGCUUGAACUAAAAUUCGAGUUUCGGGUCGUGCACUACUAAGCCGAAUCUUAGAAAAAUCAUAACUUCUUCAUACGAAGUCAGAUUCGGGCGUUCUUUUUAUGGAUUUUCUCGGUUUAACAUAUUCUAAGACUUUCAUUUAGAUCACUAAGGCUAAAAAGUCCUCCAUCAUAAAUUCACUAUUUGCGUCUCCCGGUGUCGUGCCGGUUUUGCCGUAAAACUUCGGCGGGUCAUAACUUCUUCGUUAUAACUCGGAUUUCGGCGUUCCUUAUAUGUACGGAAACCUUGAGACAUAUUCUACAACUUGGUUAAGACUAUUUAUUAUAAAUAAUCUUUUCCCAAAAAGUCUUUUUCGACAUUUAUCGCCUCUAAAUUGACUAGCCCGGAUCUACGUGCGUUACAAUUAUCUCCCCCUUAGGAUGAUAACGUCCCGGAAUCAUUAACGAAACAGGGCAGUAUAAUGACUCCAAACGUUAUCUCUUCAUUCUAGGUAAUAAUCAUAACUUCCUUGUUUCUUCGAAUGAGUAUAUAACUCUUGGACUCCUUGACUUUAGGCGGUGCUCGAUCUUGCACCUGCUCGUUAGACUUUCAAUCAUGACCUUCGUGUCACAACCUCAUUCUUUAUCAGAGACUCCUUCUUCUUCUUAACAAAACUUAGGAUAAGUUAAUUUGAUUACUACAAUUGACCGAUGUGUCAUUUUCUAAUGACCUAUCAUCGUAUGUAGCAAUGCUUAGACUCAGGUCUCUUAGAGUCAAAUUCCGGAAUGGAAUAUGCCUUCCUUCAUGGUCUAAUGUGAUAUAAUCAUAUUUUAACAUGUAGCAUUUCUAGCUACCAACUUCUUUUAACAACGAGUGUGAUACUUCUAUUGAUCGCUUUGAUUUCAAUUGUUUGGUUUAAGUCGGACGCUACAUCAAACUUGGUUCUCCGAACCACGUAACAUACUUAUCAUAGUCGGACUCAAUUCGAUAUGACCACUAGGGUCGGAAUAACAGUCAUCCUCUUAGUCAUUACCGAAACGAUGGUAACGACAUGCUUGAAUAAAACGAAAUCAUUUACUAGCUUCGUGGUAACCUUGUGACUUUCCCUAAUCCAAGCGUGAGUCGUGUGCUUCCGGUAGUAUAUGCAUCUACUACCUUUCACACCUACUCAUACUUGUCCCAAGUAUUGUCUCGCAGUUUUCCAAGUCACCAUACAAGAAAAUCACAUAACAGUUUAACACAUCAGAUAACAAAACGAAGGCGUUAUUAUUUCUUGAAACGAUUACAUAGGUGUUCAAGUUCACCCUAGACUAUGCCUUUAAUAGGCUACAUCAUACGAUACUAUGGCUACUGCAUAACUUGAUCUUCGAAUAUGAAGUCCUCAUCCUUGAUUCCUCGCAUGGUUUUCUGCAUCGUCGAUGAUCAUGUGGAAUGCCCUUGGCCUUGGUGGCGUGUUUGCCCUUGCUGCAUCGUUUUUCUUUGGGCAGUCCCUAGAGAUAUGCCCUUCUUUGUUACAUCCACAACACACCUUCUUGUUGGACGUACACUUGCUGGCAUAAUGCCCUGUCUUUCCAAAUUUGUAUCAAGUCACCUCCUCGCCACAUUUCCCGAAGUGCUUCUUUUUACACUUCUCGCACCACUUGGAUUCACCUCCUCCUCCUCCUUCUUCCGUUUUUGAGAAUUUCCUUUCUUUGUUGGAUUUUGAAGAUCCUUCAUGCUUCCUUUUUUCUCCUGUUUUGUCUUUUUCUAGACCCCUUUCUCUUAUCUGGGUCUCUACAUUCUUAGCUGCUCUAACAGCUGUUUUCAAGGUAGUUGCCAUUUUGACCAUUGGGCCGAAGUCUGUGGGCAGUCUAUUAGCAAACCUAUCGAUCUUUGAGAGUUCAGUAGGCACCAAGUAGGGGAAUAGCUUCAUCCUCUCGGUGAAUGCGGUGGCAUACUCAUCAACACUCAUCUUCCCUUUCUUCAGGUUUUGAAACUCGUUGUUUAGGUCUAUCAGAUCUAUCUCUGAGCAGUACUGCAUUUUCAACUGUUCCAAGAACUCUUCCCAUGACAUCCUUAGGGCUUCUCCUUGUGGCAUCGUAUCUGCCAAUAGCUUCCACCAGCUCAAGACUCUAGUUUUUAGUUGUCUUACUGUGAAGACAGUCUUCUGUUUCUCGCUACAUCUGCAGCUCUCAAACACCAUCUCCAUCUCAGAGAUCCAAUCCAUAAUCUCAACCGGCUUCGGGAUUCCUGAGAGACUCGGUGGUUUUGCACCCAAGAAAUUCUUGUACAUUCGCCCAUCCUUGUCGUUUCUCCCCUCUGGGCCAUCCCUUCAUUCACCUUGAGUCCCUACUUGACUCACUUGGCGGCUGUAGUUCCCUUCCUCCGAUUGCUCGGGAAUCAGUUCGGGUUGCUCAAUGGGCAUAGUAGGUUCGUCCCUAUUCAACAUUUGCCUCAUUUCUCCCCUUUGUUCAGCUAAAAUAGCCCGAAUCAUGGCUUGAACUUCAGCCAUGGUGACUGGCUCAGGUGCAACUUCUUCUACAACAGGUAUUUGCUGAGCCACUGGGGAUUGGUUCCUAUUCUCAUUUGCAUUCACGUUUCCGCUAUGGGUUCUUGCCAUUUUGAUCUAUACACNUGGGUCAUUGCCAUCUUGAUCUAUACACCAAAUAAGGUGAAUCUAGACCUUUAUUUAGGAUUGAUGUUUAAAUCACCCUUAUCACUCCGAAACUUUUAUAUGCCAGUUCUAAUAUCGUAUUCGUACGUUUAGAAUCCUAAACACAUAAGGUUUCUAGAUCCGGUCGGCAACAAACCAUAGAUCCGAUCAAACUAUAGCAUAACCAAUCAUUUAGCACAUAAAAGCGAUUUAGGCAUCAUUCCUAAAAUAAGCUAGUGCUCACACCUCACAAUCAUCGCUUAGCAUUCUAAGUUUAAGUCUAGAAAUUUCCUACAAAUUCCUAGUUCGCUUAAACUAAUGCUCUGAUACCAACUGUGACAUCCCCAUUUUCACGGCCAUAAAAGACCAAUUUUNUUUAUGCUUUAUAAAAAUCAGAGUGCCUCUUUUAAUAAAAAUAUUGCGGAAUUUGUUCGCAGAAAAAUACGAUAAAUACAUUAACAAAACAUUUUCGAAGAAACGUAUUUUAUUCAUUUUAAAACAUUUGGGAUGUCAUCAUCAAUAUAGGAACAUAAGCAUCAACGGAAUUUACACUUAUUCACACUGGUGAUCUACAUCUCUUUAAAUCUCUCAGUGUAAUGUGACUUCAUAUCAACACAUGUGAUAUAAAUAAACUGAGUGGGUCAGGUUGGGAAACCUGGUGAGUACACAGGGUUUUCAACCCACAAUAAUAUAAUUAUUAUGUUUAAAUAAUCAAGCAAUUAAACCCCAUUACCCAUCCCCAUUAUAUUCUCUAUUCUUAAGGAUCUAACCUAAGAAUCAAUUUAUUCCUCGUUCAUUCGUUCCUAAGGAUCAUCCAAAGGGAUCGGCACGAAGUCCAUCGUUGCCAUGGUUUACACAACGGGCACUAAGUCUACAUAGUCGCCAGGGUUUAGGCACUAAGUCUGCAUAGUCGCCAGGGUUUAGGCAUCAAGUCUGCAUGAUCACCAAGGUUUAGGCACCAAGUCUGCAUGGUCACCAAGGUUUAGAGUACACCGGGUGAACACAUCGUUCACAACACCUACAGGUUGCGAGCCUGCUAGUGUUCCACUGGACUGUCUAGAAUAGUCCGUGGUUGUCAUCCAUACUCUGCUGAAUGACGAGGACAUCGUUUGGGAAAAAGGCUUCUACAAUCGUACACCUCUCACUCAUACCUCAUGGUCUAUAUCACCUCUCAACUCAUCCUCCAAAACAGAUUUCAUUUAUUAUAUCUACCCAUGUUUUACCCCAACAUUUUCGUAGAUAUAAAAUACAUAUAUAGUUUAAAUCAUUUCAAACAUGUAUAAAAUCUUUCACCGAGCAUAGACAGCAAGUAAACAGACAAUAUGCACACAUAGCACGUAGUAAAUACUUCAUAUCUAUGUGUAAGUUGAAGGGGACCAUGCACUCACCUGAAAGGUGGUGACUCAGCACUCGGACAACGCUUCGAUACUCUCAAAACAAUUUUCCUUCGAUAAAACCUAAUACCAAUACCACUAGGGUUUAGUCUAACGAUAACCGCGACAAAUUAAUAGUCUAGCUAUUAUUAUUAUUAUUAUAUAAGCAUUAAAUAACACUCAAAAUAACUCAUAAUAAUAGCCCAAAUACUCAUUAUAAGUUCCUAAUAACGUUAUUAUAUUAAAACAUAAGCUAUACUAAAGAUAGGGUAGGCAUAGCUCACUUACAGCGGGUUUUCUCAAAAACCGGGCUUCGCUGGAGCAGUGUUCCCGAGCCGAAAGGCUCUUUUCUCGGGACUCUGGGAGCAUCGGGGCUUCCUUCGGGUGCUAGGGGGUUUACCUAGGCUUUAGGGGGGUUUAGGAGGCUAGACAGAGAAACUAGACAGAGAAAGUGAGUUUGGGAGGUGUGAAGAAAAGGCUAGACCUAGCACCUCUAUUUAUAGUGAAAAUAUCUGAUGGACUCGCCGAGUAGGGGGACCUACUCGCUGAGUUGGUGCAUGUGGUGAUCUUCUGGUGGUGCCACGUGUCCAAUUUUGGUGGUGCCACGUCACCCCUAUCACGUAUCAGCCUUCAAACUUAGAAAAAAUCUAACUCUCGCAUACGAGCUCCGUUUUCGACGUUUCUUAUAUCCACGUGUAGGUAAAAUCAAGAUCUACAACUUUCAUUAAUACUUCGUCGGCUAAUUCUCGACCGAUCCCAGAUUUAACAGUAGGAGGCGUUUAGACUGUUAAAUGACCGCGAAGAAUUCAUAACCCUUCAUACGGACUCUGUUUUCAUCUAUCUUUUUACCGUCGAGUUCCUAUUAAUGAGAUCUUCAACUCUCAUUUAAGUCGCCUAAGCCAAAAACUGCUUGAACUAAAAUUCAAGUUUCGGGUCGUGCACUACUAAGCCGAAUCUUAGAAAAAUCAUAACUUCUUCAUACGAAGUCAGAUUCGGGCGUUCUUCUUAAGGAUUUUCUCGGUUUAACAUAUUCUACGACUUUCAUUUAGAUCACUAAGGCUAAAAAUUCCUCCAUCGUAAAUUCACUAUUUGCGUCUCCCGAUGCCGUGCCGGUUUUGCCGUAAAACUUCGACGGGUCAUAACUUCUUCGUUAUAACUCGGAUUUCGGCGUUUUUUAUAUGUACGGAAACCUUGAGACAUAUUCUAUAACUUGGUUAAGACUAUUUAUUAUAAAUAAUAUUUUGCCAAAAAGUCAUUUUCAACACUUAUCGCCUCUAAAUUGACUAGUCGGAUCCGCGGCGUUACACUAUCGGAAGAAUAAUACCAAUGGAUAUGGAGUCGGUAGCAUUUUUCCUAGAAACUCCCACUCUUGCUACCAUAAAUAAAAUCCGUAGACAAUGUGGUAGCAACAUUGCUACGGAACGACAUUCCAUAGCACGAUCCAUUGCAGAUUAACAACGAAAAUAUAUUCCAUAGCGAUCUUCCCUAGCAAAAUCAUGUUUUUCUUGUAGUGAGUGCUCCAGUAUUUUCUCUCCCAGAAGGGAUCGAAGAGUUUGUGGUCUACUGUGAUGGAUCCAAGCAGGGGCUAGGAUGUGUGAUCAUGCAAUGAGGAAUGGUCAUCGCUUAUGCCUCACGACAACUCAAGAAUCAUGAGGUCAAUUACACCAUGCACGACCUCGAACUGGGAGCAUUAGUAUUUUCCCUGAAAAUUUGGAGACACUACCUUUAUAGCAUAAAGUGCACCAUCUUCACAGACCAUAAAAGUCUUCAUCACAUUCUCAAUCAAAAGGAGCUUAACAUGAGAUAACGACGAUGGGUUGAACUAUUAAAUCACUAUGAAUGCGAAAUUUGUUAUCAUCCGGGCAAGGCCAACGUAGUAGCAAACGCCCUAAUUCGGAAAGAAUAAUCAAGUUGUCGAGUUAAAUCAUUGACCAUGACCAUCCAUUCACACCUAUCCACAUAGAACAAGGAGUCGUAGCUAGAAGCCCUAAAAACCGAGAACAUUGUAGGUGAGGCAUUGCAGGGAAUGGAUAAAAACUUAUAAGUCAAGGGUGACGAAGCUCGUUACUUCAUGGAUCGAAUCUGGACACCAAGAUUCAGCAGAUAUAGAGACGUUGUCAUGAACGAGGCUCACAAGACAAAAUACUAUGUUCAUCCCAGUUCAUACAAGAUGUAUUUGUACCUAAAGAAACUUUAUUGGUAGCCAAACAUGAAGGCAUAAAUUGCUACCUAUAUGGGCAAGUACUUGAUUUUUGCCAAGGUCAAGGUAGAAUAUUAAAAGCCCUCGGCUUUGCUUCAAUAACCAGACAUACUCGAGUGAAAGUGGGAGCGGAUAACCAUGAACAUCUAAACCAAGUUACCCAAUACAAUUGGUAGACUUGACACCAUCUGGGUGAUCGUUAACAGGCUAAACAAAUCCGCACCCUUCCUGCCAAUAAAAGAGACCAACAAGAUGGAGAAGUUAACCAGGAUGUACAUUAAAGAGAUCGUGUGACUACAUGGGGUGCCAAUAUCUAUCAUCUCCGGCAGAGAUUGUCGGUUCACCUCAUGGUUUUGGCAAUCACUACAAAAGUCCUUAGGGACCAAACUCGACAUGAGUACAGCUUAUCACCAUUAGACGGACAGGAACAGCGGAAGGACCAUUCAGACGUUGGAUGACAUGUUGAGAGCAUGUGUGAUAGACUUUGGUAAGGACUGGGAUACCCAUUUACCACUCAUUAAAUUCUCAUUCAAUAACAGCUGUCACACUAGCAUCAAGGUCGCACCAUUCGAAGCCCUCUACGGACGCAAGUGCAGAUUACCUAUAUGUUGGGCUAAAGUAGUUGAAACACAACUAGCAAGAGAACAAGUGCCUAAUAGCACUCUCACCGUCCUGGAGAGCAUACGAGUAACUACGGAGAAGAUCAUUCAAAUUCGUGAACGAUUAAAGGCAUCUCGGGAUAUGCAAAAGAACUAUGUUGAUAAGCGGCGAAAACCUUUGGAAUUCCAGGUUGGUGACUGCAUUCUGUUGAAGGUCUCACCCCGAAACGGAAUGAUACAUUUCAGAAAACGUGAGAAGCUAAAUCCAAGGUAUAUCGGAACAUUCGAGAUCCUUGCUAGAAUUAGUCUGGUAGCUUACAAACUCCGACUACCCCAAGAAAUCAGCAAUGUAGAUCCCACCUUCCACGUGUCCAACCUAAAUAAGUUUCUGUCUGAAGAAACUCUUGUAGUCCCACUCGACGAAAUCGAAGUAAACGAGCGUAUACACUUCGUAGAGGCACCUGUGGAAAUGAUGGUCAGGGAGAUUAAGAGAAUGAAACAAAGCAGUAUACCAAGGUCUGCUGGAACGCCAAGCGACGGCCUAGAUUCACUUGGGAGCAGGAAGACCAGAUGAAACAGAAAUACCCACAACUUUUCCUCUAGUUGCAAGAACCCGUCCAAGAUGCAAAUUUUGGGACGAAAUUCCCUCUAAUGGGGGGGAUGAUGUGACAACUGGAAAAUUUUGGAACAAGCAAGGUCUAAAUUGUAACUUUGUGUAAAUGAAUUCACAAUGUAACCUUGUUGCAAUAAAACUUUGAAAGCCAAAAGGGCAUUAUUUGUAUUAGUAUACAUAUACGUAUACAUAUUUUGAAAAUCAUGAUCGUAAUAAACAUUUAUAAGUCAAGGUAAGUCAACAAGUUAAAGCAGUAACCAUGAAUAAACCCUUGCAAUUAGAGAUUUCGACCUAGUACCCCACCAAACAAGGGAUUUCAGUUUUCCUAGGACCGAAAUCACCCUUAGUGGGUGAUUCAAAACCGAAAACACCAUGGGGGAAUACUUAGGACCGAAAUCACUUAGUCAAAGUGAAGAGUUGAAAACUCUUUUGAGAUCGUUUAGAUUCUUAACAAGUAAAACAGAAAGUAAACAAGGUAUGAACACAAGAUGAAUCAAACAGAUGUUGAGUGAUUAAAACUGCAACACCUCAGAAGAGCUCGACGAAGAACUUCUACUUUAGAGGUGUGUUAGGGUUACAGUACAAUCAAUGAAAUAAUUAUUAAACACCUUGUAAAAGACGAUGUGCAUGCACCAUAAAUACUAAACCCUAAUAUCAAAAACACAGAUGGACAGACCCAUACCGUGAUAAAAUUGGACUAACUAACGAAGCCCAAUGGCGCAACUUCCUAGACUCAACAAUCUCCCCCUUUUGCGUCAAUUGAGGCAAGAGAUCAUUUCGGUUGAGUAAGGAUGGAUUUCUUCAUAGUCUUGAACGGAAUCGGUAUGAUGGCGAGUAGAGUUUGUCGAAAGUCAAUGUACCACCGAAGCAUAUUCGGAAACAUCUUCUUAUCAACUUCACUGUUCUAAUUACACCUGCAAAUGAUGUUAAGAAUGUGCUCUAGACAAGAAAUGGAGAACAUGUGCUUGUCUUCACGAGCGAACAGGCACUUUUGGCCUUCGGCCCUGGUGAACAUAACAAUAUGAUACUUUAAGUCGAUCUUACCUAUCUGCAUCAUGUUCACGUCGCUUUCCUUGCCAAUUGGUUUAAUUGUAGGCUACUUUAUCAAUGCAUAGGCAAUCUCCUGAUCCAUCUUGGCCACUUCAAGAAUGUAACACACCAACAUUUGCUUGAUAUGAUCGAUGAUAGGCUCGUAUUGUUGUUGAUCAGUCAGCAAGAUGUUGUUCAGAAGAAUCCAGUCAUAAGGGUUUAAAUUUGGCAAAUCAACGAGAGAGAUCAUAUGAACCAAGUUGUCUGAGCCUCAGCUCACUUUUGAAUUUCACAUUAAUAAACUUCCCUGCUGAAGUUGGUUUCAAUACCUUGCUUGUCGUGAUCUUUUGUUUGCUCCAAGUCAAGUAUUGCGGUUGAGAGAAAGCGAGAUAGUAUUCAAUUAGAUCUCGAUCAACCAUCGGGUUUGGAGAGGGGAUAGCAACCAUUGACUCAAAGCAAUAAAAUAUGAACACCUUUCGGGUAAUCGGCAUGUCGAACAUAGAAUCUCUGGAAUUCUCAUGAUAAAAACAGAGGACCGGUUCGAGCCAAUGAGUGCUAGGAGACUCAAUUGCUUCUUUCAAAAGUUUUUCCGAUGACCACAGAGGAAAUAGAGAUUUUAUACAUUCCAAUGCAUCGUUCAGUUCUUUCAAUUUUCUUUCCCUCUCUGUUUCUUCUUCAUCUUUGUGAAGUUUUUCUUCAAGAUCUCGAUUAUUUUGCUUUCUUUUGAGAGCAUUUCCUUCAAUUUUUCCUUCAUCCUCAUCACCGAUUUCAAUUUCUUCUUCGGUUCCUUCUUCAUCAUUAUCACUGAUACUCUUUUUGCCUUUGUCCUUCAAACUAGAACCCGAAGCUUCAUUACCCUUCAGUUAAGUUGUGACUUUCGGUUGUGAAGUAGGUUUGCUUGUUGGAGGUUUUCUUGAUGGAGGUUAUUGUGGUUGACCCUAACCGUCUUCUCCCCCUUGUUUCGUAGGGACAACAGUCUCCGGAACACCUUCAAUAUGGCUCAGCAUGUCAAGAGUUGGUCUUAGCUUUUCAGCCAAGUGUCAUCGAAUGGUGAUAAUAAGGAACGAAUCAUGUGCUUCCAAGAGAUUACAGAGAAGAGAGUGCACAUCACUAACCUUGCUUUCGAUAAUAGCUCACUGAGUCUUGAGAUCAUCAAUUUCUUUGAGCGCCUGAGUGAGCUUCAAGGCCUGAGUCUUAACCUUCGUGGUUUUGAGGGCAAGUUCAUCCAUGACUUUGUUUUCCAAGGCAAGAUCAGCCUGGAGUUUAUAAAGAUGGGCAUGGAUUAAUGUUUGAAGCUCUGUGUUUUCAGAAUUUAGGCUUUGACGGGCUUCUUCAAAGUGCUUCUUCUCGGCUUGAAGCGAAGUGGUGAGAUUAUCAACAGAGGCAGUGAUUGUUUGAGCGUUCUUUUGUGCAGCAGCCUGAAGAGAAUCCAGAAACACAUUUGCAUCAGAAAUUAGUUUUUCGACAUUUUCGAUCGCCUUCUUUCAGUCUUUUGUGGAUUCUUCAACAGCAAUUGUUGCUUUCUGGAAAGAGGAGGUGGAAGCUUCAAUGUCUUUGGCAGCGUUGGAAAUGGAAGAGUCAUGUUCCUUGACAAAAGUAGCCAACAUUGCCUUGAUAGAGACCUCAGAGUAAGAUUCGCUUGGCGUUUGAGAAGAAGAAGAAAGUAACUUGUCAAGAUUCUCAUUAAGAUCCCUUAAAUGCCACUUCCUUAUAGAAGCAUCAUCAUCAUCAUCACUCUGAACUCUGUAAGGGCUAUAGUAGAAAGAAUCAAACUCCAUUUCUGCUCCGCCAAGAACGAUGUUAGUUUCGUGUGAGUGAGGUGGAGAUUGAGGUUUAGAGGUAAUGGGAAUUUCGGUUCCAGAAGUAGGUGCCCCCACAUCAGAUACGUUGACAUGAACUUGAGGUUCGGUUGUAGAAGUGGUGGUAAUGGUAACUUCGGUGAAUAAAGGGAUUGGGAUUGGUAUAGAAGUUGCGGUUGAAGAAGAGAUGGGAGGACGGAAUGGAGCAAUGGUGAUAGGAACAAAUUGAUUAGGAGAGGGAGGAGGUGAGGUUCGGUUACCUUGAUGAGCCGAUAAAGGAGGAGGCGAAUUACCUUGGAGCGAAUUCUCAUGUUGAGACUCUUCAUUAUCACUUGACUCUGGUUCGGGUUGUUGGUCAGAUGGAACAUAUUCAGAAUCACUUGAAGAAGGAGCCUUAGGCUUGUGUGCCUUCUUCUUGAUCUUUUGCUUCUUAGGAGCGGAAGGAGCUGCUUGUUCAGAUUUUCGCUUUUUAGGCGUAGAAACUUUUGAUGAAGGUCAUUCCUUCUUGCUUUUUCGUUCAGCCUUUUUCCCUCGUUUCUCUGGUUUAUCAGCAGCAUCCAGCGAGCUUUGCAUUUCAGGAGUGAGCUGCCUUGGUCUCGUAGGAGCAAGCUUCUUGUACUCGUUCAUCAGCUUGCUUUCCCCAUAAACACACUUGUACAUGGAUUCAGGAACCGAACCAAUGAAAAAAAAAAACUUUGUUGGAUCAGAAACAAUAUUUUUGUCGUUUAAAAAGUAGCGAUUGACGACAUCAACGAGUCUGCCAUUAUUGGAAUUUGGAACUUCCCCAUCGCCCACUGAGUAACUUGUUGGAUUAAUGUCUAAGUCCAUAACUAUAUUUGGUAAGACUUGACCCGACCCGGCAUGGUCCAUUUGGGUUGCAUACCAUCAUGCACUUGAAUGAGAGAAAUAAGACACUUAUGGUUAUUAAUAUAUUAUAAGUUCUAGUAUAUUAAUAAUAAGAAUAAUGAGAUUAUUUAAUUAGUAUUGAUCAAGAAUUAAUCUAGGAUUAAUUAAGUGAUCAAAAGAAGACUAAUUAAAUAUAUGGGUUGAUUGUGUAAAUCAUCCAUACUUGUAUAGUGGGCUAAUGCUCCAUGGAUAAUCAAGUUGGGCUAAAACCCAUAGGAUGGUCCAUGGAUGCUCCAUGGUGUAUUUGUACCCAUGGAUCCAAGGAAAUGGAAAGUCAUGACAAUUAGGGUUUGCCCUAAUUGUAACACUAUAUAAGCAUCAUAUUAUUCACCAAAAUCGGCACUAGUGGGUGUACUAGAAGGGCUAGCCGAUUUCAUGAAGUGUAGGUUUUCUCUCAAGUCAUUCCAUGUGUUUUGAUGAUUGUGAUUCCAUUUGAGGUGUCACACUUGGGGCACUAAGCACUCAAGCUUCAUGAAGACUUUCUACAUCAAAGAGGUAUGUAUUCUCUCUUGCUAUAGUUAUUGUUUUUGUAUGCUAGAUUAGGAUAAUACCUUGGAAGUUCUUAUUUGCAUGUAUAAUAGAGAAAACAUAGAUCCAAGGUAUUUAGGGUUGCAUGUACACUUAGGAGUGUUAGAAUGCUCAAAACCCAACAGUGGUAUCAGAGCCUAGGCUUGUUUUCUUGUUAUACCUGCAAUAGAAGCUGAAAAAACGAAUCUGGUGCUGUCUGGCCAUCAGACUCGGCGAGUCCAUCAGGAGACUCGACGAGUCCAUGCCUAAAAAGUGAUGAAUUCGAUCCAACUCGCCGAGUUUGUUCAUGCACUCGACGAGUUGGACCCCCAGACAGCAUAUUUUCGAGUUUUUUGGCUAGAAAUGGACUAGGAACAUUACCCUAAGUUGUUUUUGAACUUAUAAACUUGUUUUUGAUGUGGUAAUGUUCAUGCUAAUCCAUUUUCAAAGAUAAUUGUCAAUAGAUUCAUGUUUUGUAUUAGUUUAAGGUUUAGACUAAUUACAUGAAAAAGUUUGAUUUGAAUUAUCUUGUUCUUAUGAGUUGCUUAGAUUAAUAGAAAUGUUGAGUGAAAUAGUUGUUUUCAAUCCAUUUUAAUCUAAGAGUUGAGUAUAAAAUGUGUUUGUGUAACUUGUCCUCAAGUUACAUGAAGAGUCACAUUAAAGACUCAUAAAACUCAUAAUAGUUGGCAAUGGUUACAAAAUGAAGAGUCUUGUGUCAUUGAAUAAUUUUUUUUGACUCCAUAACUUGUCCUCAAGUUAUGGAAGUUCAAGAGUCACUUCAUUAAAGAAAAAUAUGUAACCAUAAUUAAAUCCAUAAGUUAUAAAAUAAAGAAAAAGUUAGUUCUUUUAUUAGUUUAAAGUCUUCCAUAACUUGUCCUCAAGUUAUGGAACUUGAAGAGUUUUUGGAUUAAAACUACUUUAAACACAUAAGUUAUGGAAUUAAUUAGUUUUGAAUAGUUUCAAAACUUGCCCUCAAGUUUUGGAAUUUGAAAAGUUUUCAAGUAUGAAUACUUUAAUUCCAAGUUAGCCCUUAGAAUUUUAAAAGUUAAAAUUCAACCCUUAUACUUUAUAAUAUUAUAAGUUAAUAAUAUAUAUAUGUAUAAGAGUAAAGUCAGUCUUACCGCUAGUACGCCUCAUUCACGAAGCCGGUCUAUAAGGUGGGUAUAAGGUUGUUGCCUAUAAAAUGGCAACUUAAUGGGUGUCCACUCUCACCCACCGCUUGCUUGACUGGUGGAGGGUCGUUAGCCGAACGGGUUUGACAGGACUAGAAUUCUCCCUUCAUUAAAAGUAUUAAUGAUAAUACUAAGUAACUAAACUCUUAAUAAUACCCAAUCUUAGUUACUUAGGAAAAAUGUGAAUAAGGUGCUAAUCCAUGAAAUUACACUUUACACUUUGUCUAAGUCGUUAGUGGAGCGUGUGUGGUUAACCGGCACACUAACUUGGACUUAACAAGGUAGGUAAAGGGUGACUUAAUAUUUAUCAUAGUAUCGAUGGAGCGUGUGUGGUUAACCGGCACAUCGAUUGAGGGGUAAUUUAUUAAGGGUACCAAGUGAUUUGCAUGGUUACUUCACACCUUGUUUUGUGAUCCUCGGCAUCCCAGUCACAAAACCUGAAGGGCACACUCGAGAUUGAAACAUGCCUUUGAAAAGUUCAAUGAAUCUCAAAGAUCUAGGAGUUUCAAAACCAAUUAAAACCUAAUAAUACAUUUCGUUUAUCUUGGUGGAAAUUGGUGAAUCGUCAUUCACCUACCUUCAAAUAUUUUAUAGCUUGGAUUACGGCAUACCUCUUCUAAGUUAUAAAAUAGUUUGUUGGGUCCUAGCCUUAAUAUUUCAUAUUGGGUGUCAUAUUAAGGACUUUAAAUCAACUAUCUUGAAUAUCUCCCAAAAGAUGUCUGGUUUAGACACCUAUGAUCUUCCCAAAUCUCUUGAAACAAGGUUUCCUAAUGAAGAUGAUGUCCCAUGGAUAUCAUACUUCUUCACCUCUUCAAAUUAUUCUCCCUAACCCACAAGUUCUUGAAAAGUUUAAGGUCACUCAGGCCCUAUUGGCAAGGCAAGGUCUAGGUGUGGUCACAUCUUGGAGAUGUAGUCACAUAUUGACAAGCCGGGAGAGUUGGGUGUCAA
This 49504-nucleotide long non-coding RNA is filed under the name Lactuca sativa (garden lettuce). RNAcentral's name for it is "long non-coding RNA (LSAT_LNC009427)". The record is from RNAcentral. Lineage: Eukaryota; Viridiplantae; Streptophyta; Magnoliopsida; Asterales; Asteraceae.